RNAcentral lists this long non-coding RNA (84895 nucleotides) under Lynx pardinus (Iberian lynx). The stretch from base 57988 to 58072 matches the Rfam family "tRNA". The record is from RNAcentral. Lineage: Eukaryota; Metazoa; Chordata; Mammalia; Carnivora; Felidae.
GGAGGAACAAGUAUCCCUGUGGUCAGAGAUGAGCAAUGGAGAAAUCUGCUCAGGCUGCUCCGAGGGAACAAUUUUGACAAGAAACAUGAUUUAGAAAGAAAUCUACAAAAGAUGAACCACACAUUCUGGCUCUAUAAAAUUUCGGCUGAAUGGGUAAGUGCAGAAUUUCUUAAAAACUCGAUUAAAAUGGCUUGAAAAGAAUUUACUAACAUUGGCUAUUGUAAUUCCAACCAAGUCACCAUUAUAUGCCUCAUUCUUUUAGAAUGUAGUAGAAUUGUGGUGGAUUUUUUAUGCAUUAAGUGUUGAAAAAAAAGACUGAAUUGAAAUAUUGAAUACAUGUGACCUGAAUUGUAACCUUGGAUUCUUCGCCAAUGUGGACAAGUUACUUAAUCAUGGGGCUCAUUACUUUAUUUUUAUGGUAUUGGUUGAUUUAUCUGUAUAUUUCAAAAGUUGGAAUGUAAGGACCCUAAUACUCUUUGUAAAGUUUUAAAAUACAAGUUUAGAUGUUUCAGAAUUCUUUCUUUUCUUCCAAUUUUAAAUAAUCUCCUUUCAUGCACAGCUUGUAACAUAGUGAUAUUUGAUUUUUUUUAUCACUAAGAGAUGGGAAAGAGAUGUGUGUAGUUGGAAAUGUGAUUGACCUUAGGCAUAGGAAGACUUCAAAGCAACCUGCAAUUUCAUCAUUAGUGGUUCAUCCCUCAGUGUUAAGACAUUACAUAUCCAUUAAGACCCUGGUUCAACUACAGAUACAUAUGGGAGAUGUUGAACAUGGAAUAAUUAAAGUCUACCAUAAAUUAAUUUACCAGGAUAGCUAGCUGGUUCCUAAAGACAUGACUGUGGGACACUUAGAUUUUAUUCUGGCAUAGUCACUUGGGAUAUACUUAGAGGUAAGACCCGGCUACAUGUUAACAUGACAGAGGGUACACAUAUCAAUAAAAUGGAGGCUUGCAUUAGGGGGACUUGGUCGUUGUGUCCUGGUCAUUUGUCUUGGUUUACACCUGUGCCCAAGUAUCUUACCUUAUUAUCCUAUUCCCAAUCUUGCUUUCUUCUAAAAUUCUCUCCCUGCCAUUUCCAGGAUGCUCCUUCUGAAACAUAGAACAGUUUAAUAAGCAAACUCUGUUGGAUGGAGACUUUAGGAAAACAUCAUGUGGAAGCCAAGGAGAACAGCAAACCGAGGUGAACGAAAUCACCCUAAAGCAAUUAAAAUUAUGAGCCUUGGAUUAUAAUUUAUUGCAAAUGGUACAUUUGGGGCCUCAGGAGUUUUUUAUAGUAAGGGUCAGAUUGGUAGCCAGAGGGAUAUAGAAGGGAAAACUCCCCAUAUUAAUACUCCCUUCCUUCAAAGAAGGAGAAAUAAGAUUUAAAAGCAAGUUUUAUGAUGUUGCAGAGAAUAUGUGUAUUUCUUAGUUUGGGAGACAAUCUCCAUAGUCCAUCCUACCCCAUUCUCUGUCUUGCUACUCUUUCCUUCCAUGACAACCAUCUUGAAUUACUUGAAUUUCCCCCAACAGAAUGUCCUUGUUGCCUCUGUUCCUUAGUACAUGAUAUUAGAGUUGCCUGAAUAACUCUUCCCACCUUUUCCUUUUAUACCUCAUUAGCUCUUCACUAAUUUUUAUAAUUACAGCUAAAAUAUCUUCUAUUUGAGGAUUCCUUGGAUUCACCAAAACAGAGUAAUCAUUUUUCCUUUGUCCCAUUUCUUUAUAUGAUACAUACUUUAAUUACUUCAAUUAUACACUUUAUUGCAAAUAGGUGAUUAAAUAUCUGCUCCUUGAUGACAGAACCUGUGUCAUAUUUCUCUUAACAUUCAUAGUUCUUUGCAUUAUGUGGGAUAUGUAUCAGAGACUCAGUAAAUCUUUGCCUAGUACAAGUGACCGAGUUUUGAAAGUACUCGUUUUAUAACUGUCAGUGAUAAGAGAACUUAUAUUUCUUAGUUUAACAUUGAGGAAUAACUGAUGAGGGAUUCAAAUUACUCACUUUAUUAUUUUCUUUACUCUCUUGACCUUUAAAAUGUUAUUAAAAAUUCAGACACUUUAGAAUAUUCAUAUGUUUCCAAAGUUGGCAAUUAGACAACUGUUAAAUUGGUCCCACUGUGUGCCAUAGACUGGAUUCCCUGGGAAACAAAAGCUGAGGGGGAAAUUUCUAUGCAAACUAUUUAUUGCAGAAUGCUACUCUGAACAAUUCCUGUGAGGAAAGAGAGAAGCCGAAUGUGUAGAGAGAGAAGUUGAAAUAUGGUGCAAUUGCACCAAGGCCUUCGUUCAUCUCAAGGGGAAUUCUAGAGCUUGUAUGAACAUUCAGAGAUGUCUGAAGUGGAGGCCAAGGGGCCAUGCUUCCACAUAGAUCAGUCCUUUGAUUGGGAUACUCCAGAGAAGGAGUGUAAUCCUGGGUGAGACCACAUCCUCCUCUGAGGACAAUUCGUAGAGAGGUCUAAGUUGUGACAUCUCAGCAGCCAACACUCCCAGCAGCUGGAGAGUGCCUCAGCUGUGGAAGGCAGAUUUGGGUGGUAAACCACAGCAUUUCCUAUUCUGACGUUCUUAGAGUUCUUCUAAUAAUGAAUGUUUGGCUAGUCCUUUACCUGGGCCUCAGUUUCUAAUGAAGUUGAUGAAUUCUAAUGAGUAGGUAGGACUAGCUGGUAUUGGAAGCUCUUUCCAUUCCUUCUACAGUGCAGUUCUCUGCUAUUCUUAAUGUACUCUUCAACUCUUUGUUACUGUAGCCACUGGCUUUUAUCUUAUUUUUAUGAGCAGCAGCUUCACAAAAAUAAUUGGAAAAGGUAAUCAUUUAGAACCACACUAAAGCAGAUAGCUCACAAAUAAGUACAAUUAAGCUAUUGUGUUUAUUUACAGGCUGCUGUUAAGAUAAUUAAAGAAGGAAAGUAAUAUUGUGUUUAGACAGAAACAGUGGGAGGAAGAGGUUGGGCUUGUAGAACAAAUUAAGCCACAGAAUAUGCUUUACUGAAAAAUAUGACUCUUAUCAACAUAUGUUUUCACUUAACUGCACUGACUAAAGCAAUUUUAAAUGAUAGUGACUCCUUCUGGCUCUUUAUAUCCAUCACUUUCUUGUUCUCUCUGCAACAUUUUUAAAUUUUUUUUUCAACGUUUUUAUUUAUUUUUGGGACAGAGAGAGACAGAGCAUGAACGGGGGAGGGGCAGAGAGAGAGGGAGACACAGAACCGGAAACAGGCUCCAGGCUCCGAGCCAUCAGCCCAGAGCCUGACGCGGGGCUCAAACUCACGGGCCGCGAGAUCGUGACCUGGCUGAAGUCGGACGCUUAACCGACUGCGCCACCCAGGCGCCCCACUGCAACAUUUUUAAUAAGCAAACUCUGUUGGAUGGAGACUUUAGGAAAACAUCAUGUGGAAGCCAAGGAGAAUAGCAAACCGAGGUGAACGAAAUCACCCUAAAGCAAUUAAAAUUAUGAGCCUUGGAUUAUAAUUUAUUGCAAAUGGUACAUUUGGGGCCUCAGGAGUUUUUUAUAGUAAGGGUCAGAUUGGUAGCCAGAGGGAUAUAGAAGGGAAAACUCCCCAUAUUAAUACUCCCUUCCUUCAAAGAAGGAGAAAUAAGAUUUAAAAGCAAGUUUUAUGAUAUUGACAUAGGAGCUGUAUAUGUGUGUGUGUGUGUGUGUGUGUGUGUGUGUGUGUGUGCAUAUGAUUUGCUUUAUUUAUUUUGCUCUAGGCAUUAUUUAUUCCAUUUAACCCAUCCGUUUCAUUAGAAACACUACUAGAGCAGUCUUAUAUUGUCAGUGCUAAACUCUAAUUGGAGAUCAUAACAGGUCCCAGAGGAAUCUAGAUGUAUGGUGUCUCUAAAAUUGUUGUUUUAAAUGUAUGUCAGUUUUUCUUUUCUCAAAGUCAUAUCUUUCCACCACUGUAAAACUUUGUGUGUGUGCGUGUAUGUGUAAAUAAUAAUGUAUUUUAAAGUGUCUCUGUAAAGACAUCUCUGUGUUCAUCUCAACUACAUUGCCUCAAGACCUGUCUCAGCAGAGUCUCAUUUAUAAAAGAAAAUACAAGUCAGAAAUUAAAAAUAAAAGGCUUGAAAGGAAAGGUGUAUUUUACAUGAAAGUGGAAAAACAGAAAAAUGCUUGGCAUGACACAUGGUAAAUUGUCCUAAUUUCUCCCUUCUCAUCAGAGUCCCCAAAACCUAUCUGUCACUGGAGCUGCUCCCCAAGUAGCUGUCAAUCCUUCAUUCCCAGUGUCCUCCCCAUCCUGGUCUCUGCUGGCUCUCCUGUCUCCUCCCACUCUUCCCUCCUAACUGUGGGUUUUAUUCCAUUCUGACGUAUACAUGCCAGGCAAUUCCAUUUAGCCUUUUUCUUUUUGUUGCAACUCUUUCCAUCAAGCAAGACAAUAAAAGGCAAAGAAACCUGCUAAUGAAAUCCGCAUUAUACCACAAAUAGAGUGCACAAGACAGGGUUUUGAGUAACCAAAUAUUGCUAUUUCAGUAUCUAUUACAUAUAAUUUUGCCUGCUGUUAGUAUCCUACAAAUUUUACACUAAUUAGCCAUCCAGUGUAAAGGCCAAUAAAGGAGAAUUAUAUUUUCAAAAUAUCUUUCAGAGAAGAGAUGGUGUGUGAUGAUAUCCUAUGGGUUGGUUACAAUAGGAUGAUAUAAUAGAACAUUUCCAGAAAGCAUCCAUAUUAAGGAAGAUUUCUAAGAGCAGAUCUGGAUGGUUGAGUUAAUGUAGAAGAGAUGGCCACAGUGCUUUUCCAUCUGCAAAGAUUAUCCUCAUAAUUGAUCCUACUUCCUCUAGAAUGGAUUUACUGAACUGACUAGUUUAGAUGUAUAUAUUUAAAAUUCUCAACAUAUGUUUUAUAUAAUUCCUUUUACAAUAUUGGAAUAAACCAAUUUUUUAGUCUUAGCUGAUGCCAUCUUUCCUUCUGUUUAAGUAUGUCUCAUUUAUCUCUUCUCUCUGUCAUAAAAUUUAUUUUAUUUGUUUCUGUCUCAGUGGUCUUUGAACUGUUAUCCUCUCUCAUAGAUGAGGACAAUUAAAUUCAAAAAAGUUAAGGGCACAUUGAUCAGUACACUCUAGAAUAGCUGAGCAAAGUUACUAAAUUGUUGUUUUUAAAUCUUCAAAUCUAGUACUGUGUUCAUAAUACCUCAUAAUUCCAUUCAAAAGUGCAUAACCAGUACAUAAGCCACAAGAAUAGGCUGUGACUAAAUGUUCCACAUAAAAGAAGUACGGGAGUUGAUGGAAUUGGUAUGAGAGGUGGGGAAGCUGAAUAAAGAGACUUGUCACAUAUAUAGCAUUUCUCCCUGUAGUAGAGAUGGUUUUUGAAGUGUGGACUGCCUUUAACAUAAAAUAAACAGAAGGUUUACAUAACAGGUUUAUUUCCGAUGCAUCAAGCACUAUGGCAUAUGCACAUCAGGGUGGAGGUAGAGGGCUCUUUAAUCCAAUACUGCUGGUCUUGUCAGGACUGUUAAGCAGAUAUGUUCUCAUAUUUCCUGCUUUGAGAACUGGGUCUAGUUGUAUGGUAAGAAUUUUGGAACCAUAUACAUACAUGUGCUAUCAAAUGAUUUCUGUAUCUCAAACUGUUUUUAUCCCCAAUGUUCUUUAAAAUUUUACAUCUGCUUGUGGCUAGAAAAUGUAUUUCAAGAAAUAUUUGUCUCCAUUCCAGACCAUUCCCUCAGUUCUCUGGCAUUAAUUCUCCUUUCCUUCCAUGAUACUUUUUCAUGAGAUAGGAUCAAAAGCCUUUUCCUUUAUUGCUCUUGGCAUCUGGAGGAAACUUCUUGCAUUUCUCUGCAUCAUUGACGCUAUCUCUUCUUCUUUUCAUAUAGUUCUUGAAAGUCUCUUCUCUCUUGCCUAAAGCUCUCUUAAUUUUCUUCUCCCUUUGUGGUUAUUUAACUGUGUAAUUGUAUUACUUAAGUUUAUAAAUCAUUUUGAGAUUCUGUGUAAGUCACAGUGUGAAUAAAAUGCUCAUUGAAUUGGGUUUGUGAGUUCAAUGGAAAGUUGUACUUAAACAGAAGUUGCAGUAAGUUGGAUUAUUUCCUGAUCUUUAAUGUUUGCAAUUUAAACUAACAUGGUACAUGAAAGGAAAAAUUUCUCCGACAUUAUCGACCUAAACUUCUCUAUUUUGCAUAUACAAUUGAUUCUUCAUCAAACAUGUUAACUGUCCUCCUCCUUAUUUUAGUGAGUUCUUCUAACCAUUGUAAUAUAUUUUAUGUUAUUUGGAAACAGCUUGUUAUGAUAUUACAUAACAUUAGUUUCCAAUUUACUGAGUCAUAUAUAAUCCAUAGUAACAAUGAUAAAUAGUUUUGCUGUUUAUUCUGGUGUUACUUUUAGGGUUAUUUCCUGUUAUGGAUACUACUAGUUGUCUACCCAUUAUCUGUUUCCUCUGGUUUCCUGAUCAACAGAAUUUCCAUUUGCUCGAGGAGCAAGGUGACCAGCUGCUCCCUACAUUCUUCGGCAGUUAGGUGUGCCUAGGAACUGGUUCUGGUCAAUGAGCUAGAAACAGAAAUUGCUUGGGAGAGGUGUUUGAAAAAAUGUUUUAAAAGGGACAAAGUCAUUUGACUUCUGCCUGGUGCAAUUUGCCCUUUGACCUUUCCCAUUCUUAUUCUUUUUCAUUCUACCUGUGGAGAAAGAAAACUAAUGCCUAUAGAUUCAGAAAUUAGGCUGUGAGCCUGAGGAAAACAAUCACACACUAAAAAUGGUAGAGCUGAAAUAAAGAAAAAAUCUGGGUCACUGGUGACAUUAGGGAUCUGCCAUACCAACUUUGGACAACUUACCUGAAAACUUCUUAAUAGAUGAGAAAAGAUCACCCCUAAUUCUUUUAGGCGAACAGUUAGGUUUCAGUUUCACAUAUCUGCAUGUAAAAUUCGAGUAUUAUAUUGUCAUAAUUGGGACAGGUUAAGGGCUCUACUCAAAUUGAGCAACAUAGGAGACAGAUAAUAUCUUACUUGAGGAGACUGCCCUGACCUCUCUUUGAAUCUCCACAACCUAUCAGGUCUUCGUUGAAUACUUCUACUAUGCUUUAGUGGCACUGUUGCUUACCUCUGUCAUAUGCUUUAUAAUAUAGAUUUAUAGCUGCUCCUUUGACUUUCGUCACUUCUUAGAUCAGAUUGCCUCCACGAGCUGGCAGCUGGUGUCACUUGGAAAUUGGGCUAGAGCAUUAUAUUCCCAAAUUGGAAUAUAUUGCUUACAAAAGCCAAAGAGGUCUACUUAGAUAUUAUGAUUUUUUCUUAGUAAUGGAAGAUGCAAGUGGCAAUAAUUUGUCCUUUCAUUUGUCCUGUUAUACCCAGAAGCACUAGAUGUUUUUCAAGCUUAUAUAUUUUGAGAGAGAAAGAAAGCGCACAAGAGAGAGCGAGCACAUGAGUGGGGGAGGGACAGAGAGGGAAAGAGAGAGAAUCCCAAGCAGGCUCUACACUGCCAGCACAGAGCCUGAUGCAGAGCUUGAAUUCACCAACCAUAACAUCAUGACCUGAGCUGGAGUCAAUAGCUGGAUGCUUACCUGACUGCGCCACCCAGGUGCCCCAGUAGUACUAGAUUUUUUAAGAUUAUGCUUUCCUCCUUCAAUCAGUAGAUCACGGGUUUGAAAAUUGGCUCACUACCAGCAGCUUGGCAAAGGAUUGUGACUUGUUGGGGUGAUGGCAACCCUUAACCUUCUGACAAUCUAUUUGACUGCCCAUCUAUCGUGACCAUGGGGCACAGUGUUUUAUUACUUAUUUUGGUAACUUUCUUCGAUCCAAGUUCUCAUGGUGUAGGUUCAGAGAGUUCAAGGUAUUAUAGAACCUCAGUGUUUUGAAUUUAUCAUCCUAUAUAUACUCAAUUCUAUGUUUUAGGGUCCCCAUCUUUCUCCACCCAGGACGAUGAUCUUAACAGACCAUACUUGCUGGGGCAGGGAUUUCAACUUUCCCUGGAGCUAUGAAACUCUAGUAAUUAUGUCCUGGGCCUGACCCUCAGCUUUUUUUGGCCUGCGGUUGCAGGAGAUGAGAGUUUUGUUAUGCUGUUCAUUACGCUGCCACGGAGCUACUCUAAUUUUCACACUUUACCUUCACUUGGUGAUUCAACAACCUGAACUUUUCAGUCUUUCUCAAUAUUCCUGGGUCAUUCAGCAAAGGUCACCAGAUUCCUAUUGCCUAUAUAGUUAAUAUUUUGUAUAUACUCUUAAAAGCCCGCGAUACUGUAUUGGCUAGUAUUGUUUCUUUUACCAGUAUCCUAUCCCAGCUUACCCCUCAUGAAAAUGCUGAUAGUUGCACUCCUACAACAUUCCGAGAGCAAUUAGUGUUCCACAUACACUAAUGAUGACACUUCAUUGCCCUGCAGCUGGCUCCAAAUCUCCAUUCUCUCAGACAUGACAUCCUCCUGGUAUCAAUUCUCUCAGUUUGUGUUUUCCAUGAAAUAGACUCUGAGAUGGAGAUUUUUGUGCAAGGAGUUUGUCAGAGGAGCCCUCGGAAGCAAUAUCAACUGGGAGAUGAGGGUAUAGGUUUUGGUAAAGGAAAGAGUUACGGUGCAAAUCAGUGACAGUGCAGGCUUCAACCAAAUCCUCAGGACUUCCUGGGAUACUACUUCACAGUUAUUUGCCUUCAGGCAAGGGAGGCAGAAUUUUAUUCACCCAUAACAACUACUCAUUGGAUGUGGACUACCUCAGGGGAAGGGGUAUGAUAUUACAUCAAACAGGUUUCUUCAGCUAAGGGAAAUUCUCAGAGAGGGAUCCAGGGAAGAGUCAACAACCCUCCCAGCAGCUGGAAAAAUGAGUGCUUUGUGUAUAAAAGAGAGAGCUGGGCAUAGCAUUAAUUGCACUCUGACUGGACCCUGAGCUUCUUAAGUCAAUGAAUGUGACUUAUUCAUCUUUACACACUCCGAGCCUAAAACAAUGCCUGACAUUUAGUAGGAGAUUAACAACUUCCUGCUAAAUGAACAUAAUACUAGUAUUUAUUAACUGACUAGGACACUUGCUUAUUAAUCAAAGAUUUGAAACAGUUAUUUACCAUUUUUAUUUAAAUAGAAGAAAAUAUGAAGAGUUUUUCUUUGAGUUUAUUGAUACCAAAGCUAUUCACUCAUCCACUAUUCAUUAUCUGAACACAUACUUGUGGAGUUUUUUAACAUGAAUAACACAUUGAGGCAAAUAAUUUCCUUUAAUAAAACAUCUAUUUUGGCCAUCUCAUUUUGUUAAAGAAAAUAGCUAGCUCCCCUUUUCUUUUUUUAUAGCCUCCUUUGAAAAGGCAGCAUGCAAAUUGGUGGUGUUUCCUGCCCUGUAGGUCUCCACUAGCCAUUAUCAUGAUAAUCUCUGCUCUUGAAUGGCUAACAUUUAUUGUAUAGAGGAAAAUGAUAAUUGUUGUAGUAGCCACUCCCAUUACACCUGUGUGUUUAGAAGCUUUAUCCUAUUUUGAGUUCAAUACAGACUAGAAAUAGGAACAAUAACAAUUUAAAAUACAAUCUUUGGGGCACCUGCUGACUCAGUCAGUAGGGCAUGCGAUUCUUUCUCACAGUCCUGUGUUCAAGUCCCACAUUGGGCAUGGAGCCUCAUUUAAAAAAAUAAUAAUAAUUUAAAAUAAAAAAGAUACUCCUUUCUGACUUUUCAGUUGUAAUUCUUCAGCUGUAGCAUAUGCCGAUAUAAGUGUAUAAAUAAUGUGUUUCUUCCUAGAAAUGAAACUAUUUCGUAACAUCUUUUCUACAAGUUACAAUCAAAAUACUGCAAUAGUGGAUACUUGUUCACCUGUAUCUGUCUGAGAGAUCAGUGGCACAUCAUUGUCCUGACAAUUGGCUAGAAUUAUAUGAUGACUUUCAUCAAUCACCUUAUAGCAUUUGUCAUUGGUUUAUCACUCAGACUACCUAGAUUGAAAGAUAUGCCAUGCAGCUACUCAAAUAUAGAAAUUGUUUAAAAGUAGGUCUUAUUUUCCCUACUAUAAUAGACUAUUGUUUUAGUAAACAUAUAGUUUACUAACUCCCUAAAGUAGAUGGUUCCUAGAGCAAAUUCCGUUAAAAAGAAGCAAAAUUAUGAUAAUCUCAAUGCUUCUCUUCCACCAGAUUUCCUUAUCUUUCUCAAACAUGUUAAAAGAAGAAUUACCAAUCAGAGCCCCCUGGGUGGUUCAGCCGGUAAAGCCUGUGACUUCGGCCAGGUCAUGAUAUCGCGGUUUGUGAGUUUGAGCCCCACAUCAAGCUCUGUGGUGACAGCUCAGAGCUUGGAGCCUGCUUCAGAUUCUGUGUCUCCCUCUCUCUCUUCCCUACCCCGCUCGCAUUCUGUCUCUCUCUCUCUCUCUCAAAAUAAACAAACAUUAAAAAAAUGUUUUAAAAUAAAGAAUUACCACUUUGACCCAUUAUAAACACCCAAUCAAAUUAAAGACAUAUAAAUACUUUAGAUUGGUAGAUUGUUUCUGCCAAUAUGGUAGAAAGCAAAAUGGGUAUUCCUUUGAUUGACAUGUCCUAUGUUUUUGUUGACAAAACCACUUGAGGCAACAUGUGUUGCAAGAGUGGGGAGUAUUCAGGUCUAUAACAUACUCCAUUUAUGAGAUAAUGACAUAUGAAUUUAUUAUCUUAUAAAUGAUUAAUUUUCAAAAGUAUUUCAGUCUCCUGCACUGUUUCUUCCCACUUCUCAGCUAUAAUCUUAUCCCGGAGUUGCCAUUUUCAUUCAUUCAGUGAUUUAAAUAAUCACUCUGUUUCUGGAAAUCUGCAUAACUUUGGGUAUUAAAAUAUGAAAAAUCCAUGUUGUUAACACAGAUAAUGUGGCUUUGGAGACUAUAAUUUUGUUUUGCCUAAAUCAAUAACAGAAGUAGCUAUAAAAUAUUUAAAAAUAGUCUAAUCCAUGUGUAUCGGAUGUCCCAUGUUUAGCUGUCCCUUUCUUAUUUUAUUCCUUUUUAGUGAAAAUUGUCAAUAACAGAGAGUCUUACUGUAGGUAUCUUGGUAUCUACAAAAAUUUUAUUGAUCUUCUUCAGUGAUUCCAACAUUGAUUUUCAUAGGAACCACCUAGGGAUUGUGCUAAAAUGUGGAUUCUCAUUCAGAAAGUCUGGGAUACGGCCUGAGAAUCUGAAUUUGUAACAAGUUCCAGAUGACAUCAAUUCUGCUGAUCUAUGGAACAUACUUCAGUAACAAAAGUCUAGUUGAUAUGUUCUCCCACUGACAAAUUAUAGUUAAAGAACCAUUAACAACUUGCCUGUGAGAAAUUAAACGAUUGAUAAAACAUCACUCAUUCCCAGCAAAGAAAAAAAAACUAAGAAAAUUAUCUCAGAAGACUGGAUACAAAAUAUAUUUGAGUAAAUGUAUAAAUUGAAAAGAAAAUAUAAGGGACAAUAACUCCAAGGGAACAUAAAAGUUCAAGAUUACCAAAAGCUCUAGCCAACUUCAUUCAUGUGUGCUCUCUCUUGAAACUGAUUUCAGUUCUCGGAAAUGGUCAGUGUGGACAUCUUUAUUGGUAUCAUCUUGAUGUUAUUUCUGAGAUGUUUAAUGAGAGCUAGAAGUAUAUCAUAGAAACAGAGGGGUGUUAAAUGGGAGGAUUUGAAGCAAAGUUUUCCAUUUUGAGUUUAAAAGAGAGAUAUUUAAUAUUUGGACAAAGCUAAGUGAAAUUCUUAUUCAAACAUUGCUACAAAUACACUUAUCCUUGGAGAAAUCACUUUAUUUUUAGGUCUAUCAUUUUCUAAUCUAAAAUAUGGAAGUCUUAUAUUGGAUAGUCUCAAAAAUCCUUUCCAACUUUAAUAGUCAAUGAUGUUAUUUAUGAUUCUGGUAUAUUUUCAUGGAGUCAUUUAAUGGCCUAGUUCCUGAACUCCCACAAAAUAUGUUUCUUAGCUGUAGAGACAGAUGCCAGCCAACACCAGCAUAUGGCAAAACAUCAGAUUUCUUUCUUUCCAGUCUUUUCAAACUCAAGCUACAUUUUAAUUCCCCAAUAAGUAACUAAUUCUCUAUCCAACUUUUGCUUCCAACAUCACUCACCAAAUGAAUCCCAAAUUGCUUGUUCUGACAUGCUCAGCUAAAUGUUAAUACUUACAUGGUCAACCUUAAUCCAAACUUUUCUUUUUUUUUUUAAAUUUUUUUUUUCAACGUUUAUUCAUUUUUGGGACAGAGAGAGACAGAGCAUGAACGGGGGAGGGGCAGAGAGAGAGGGAGACACAGAAUCAGAAACAGGCUCCAGGCUCUGAGCCAUCAGCCCAGAGCCUGGCGCGGGGCUCGAACUCCCGGACCGCGAGAUCGUGACCUGGCUGAAGUCGGACGCUCAACCGACUGCGCCACCCAGGCGCCCCUAAUCCAAACUUUUCAAGUUCACUCCUAAACUGCUGGAGAUCAUAAUGAAACACAGACCAUCUAUUAUAGUUUCUUAGAAUUAAACAAUCAGAAUAAUGAAUAUUUUGGGUUUGAAACAAAUGCAACAAAUAUAGUAAUAAUAAUAACCUAACAUGAGUUAAAAAUACAGAUAAAAUUGAAAAUUCUUGAACCACAUUAAAAGCCAGUAAUUAUGAAACUUUACAAAAUGAUGAUUCAAUUCACACGCACACGCACACACACACACACACACUACUUUCUGCUCAAUGCUUUAAAAGUACAGAAUUUAUGUAUUUAAAUACAAUUGAAUCUUAGAAGAUUGCCUUAUAGGGCACCGGGUGGCUCAGUUGGUUAAGUGCCGAACUUUAGCUCAGGUCAUGAUUUUAUGGUUCCUAAGUUCAAACCCCAUAUAGGGCUCUGUGCUGACAGAUCGGAGCCUGGAGCCUGCUUUGAAUGCUGUGUCUCCCUCUCUGUCAACUCUUCCCCCACUCGUGCUCUGUCUCUUUGUCUCAAAAAUAAAUAAACAUUAAAGAAAUUAAUAAAAAGAAAGAUUGACUUAUACCUGACGUUUUAGAAAUACAUCAUGAUAUAAAGUAAAGCAACAUUUGUAUAAUAAAAGAGAAACUGUCUUCCUGUGAGGUAUAGGCAAGUAAAGGGAAAUCUGGAAUUAAUGGAAGAUACAAACGAAGGAAUAUAUUUGAGUUUAGGAGUUAGGGAUUAAGUGAGCAAGCAUGACACUGUUGCUAAUACAGUAUACUAACAAUCAAAUGUUAGGUAAGCUGAUCAACGAAUUAAGUUUUUACUGUAAUUUUAAUUUUUAAAAUAAUCGAGAAUAAAACUAAUACUGAAUGCACUGUGAGAAGAUGAUUACAGUAGACUAUUAAUUCUCCACAAGAUACCUUUAAGUUUACAUUUGAUGAAGCUAAUCCUGAUACACUGACACUUACUACUAUGCUUGCAUUAAGUUUUCUUGUUUAUAAUUCAUAUAAACUUCUACAUUCCAGAAGGGAUUGGGUUGCCUUUCAAAACAUAUUUAGAUAUUUAAGAAUAAAGGUAAAACCUAAAAAUGUCAGCUAUGUAAAGAAAUGGAUGAUAUAGAAUAACAUCUUAAUUAUCUGCCAAUGGUUGAAUGAAUAAAGAAAAUGUGUGGGCCACCUGCAUGGCUCAAUCGGUUAAGUGUCUGACUUCGACUCAGGUCAUGAUCUCAUGGUUCAUGAGUUCGAGCCCCAUGUCGGGCUCUGUGCUGACAGCUCAGAGCCUGGAGCCUGCUUUGGAUUGUGUGUCUCCUCUCUCUCUCUGCAACCUCCCCUCACACUUUGUCUCUUUCUCUCAAAAAUAAACAUUAAAAAUUUUUAAUAAAAAACAUCUGAAGAAAAUGUGAUACAUACACACACAGAGAAAUAUUAUUAAUUUCUUUUUUAAAUGCAAAUCCUGUCAUUUGAAAUAACAUGGAUGAACCAGAAGGGCAUUAUAAGCCAAACAGAGAAAGAGAAAUACUGCAUGGGAUCACUUACAUGUGGAAUAAAAAAAGAGUCAAAUUUAUAGAAAUAAAGAGUAGAAAAGUGCAGUUGCCAGGGUCUGGGGGGUAAAAGAAAUAGGGAGAGAUUGGAAAAAGGGUACAAAGUCAGUUAUAAGAUGAAUAAGUUCUGAGGAUCUGAUGUAUAACACUGUGUAAUAUCAUUAACAUUUUCUCUAAGAGAGUAGAACAAAAUGUUCUCAUACACACACAUACAAAAGUAAAUAUGUGAGGUAAUGGAUGUGUUUAUUAACUCAAUGGGGAAAAUUCUUUCACAAUGUGUAUGUAUAUCAAAUCAUCACAUUGUGCACUUUAAGUAUCUUGCAAUAUAUAUGUCAGUUAUAACUCAAUAAAGCUGAAAAAAUUCGAAAAAAGUGUAUCCAAAAUAAAUACAGAACUAAGAGGUUAUAAACUGGUGGUGAUUGAAGGAUAAUGCAGAAGGAAUAAGGGCAUUAAUUAUACAACAGAUAAAGAAUAAACAGACCUUGUUUAAAGUGUAGUAUAAAACAGUCUUGUUGGAGAAUGGAGAUAUUUUUGUUCCAUUAAAAGAAUAAAAGGAGUGAUAUUAACCAGUGAUUUAAAAAAUGAAAUAAUUAUGCAAUCAUUUUAGCCCCAAACUUUCUGGCAAUGAACACACAAGUAAGACUAGAUAGGUUGAAAGCACACCUCAGAUCACAGACUGCAUACCUAUAUACUCCAGGAGACAUAAAACUGUUCAUGAAUAAAUAAAAUAGUAAAAAUGUAUUAUACAUUUUCCUUAUAAUGAUUAUUGAAUAAUAUAGUAGAAAGUUCUGAAGAAGCUAAAAAAUGUCUCUCUUAUAGCUGUUUCUCAUACACAUUCUUAAUAAAUGCAAAAGCAGUGGUAAAAAAUUGAAUUUCAUUUCUGGGAAGGUGGCAGAACAGGAAGCACCAGAAAUCUAUCCCCCACCAAUAUAACAGCUGUAUUGGAAGAAUCUCUCUGAUGUCACUGGUUUGGAAUUCAGGAGUCUACUAAAGGUUCACAACUUCCAUGAAGAGGCUUGAAUGAUAAAUUGUGGCUAAUUUUAGUCAAUUUCAGGUCUUAGCACAGUAGUAGCUACCCAUUCCCCAAGCAUUAUCCCUUUGGAAGGCAACUGUGCAUGUGGUCCCAGAGCAGCCUAUACACAGCUUGUGGAGCCAGAGUGGGCAGAAAAGACCCUGUCAUCCAAAUAUCAUGUAUCUAUCUUCUGAUCACUGAUUGCUGCUUGUAAUCAUAGAGAUGAGGACAAUAAGGGAGCAUCCACUGUUGUCCUACUUCUGCCAUUGUUACAAGUUAUUUCUCUUGGGCUGAGUGACUACAUUCAAGAAGAAUUUCCCCUGAAUAUAUAGGGGAAAUUAGAAAGACACUGCACAUACCCAGGGGAAGGUAUAGGCUCAUAAAAGAACUGAGAAGACCUCAGGUUUAUACCUUAGGCACAGAGGCUGUAUACAAAAAUUAAACAACAGCAACAACAACAACAACAAACCAUGGGAAAGGGGAGAAUCUAAUUUCCAGAAUUACCAAAUUAUUAGGUUCAAAUAUUCAGUUUUUAACAAAAGAUCACAAGGAAAACAAGGAAACAGGAAAGCAUAGCUCAUUCAAAGAAAGAAAAAUAAAACCAGAGAAAGACACCACAUGAAAGGAAAACUAUACACCAAUAUCCUUAAUGAAAAUUGAUGGAAACAUCCUGAAAAAAUGCUAGCUAACCGAAUUCAGAAGCAUAUUAUACACCAGGACCAAGUAGUAUUUAUUCCUGGAAUGCAAAGAUGGUUCAACAUAGCAAAAUCAAUCAGUAUAAUACACCAUAUCAACAGAAUAUAAGGUGGGAAAAGGCACAUGAUCAUCCUAAAUGAUACAGAAAAAAAAUUUGAGAAAGUUCAAUUCACUUUCAUGACUAAAAACACUCAACAAAUGAUGAAUAGAUGGAAAUUACCUCAAUACAAUAAAAACCAUACAUGAAAAACCCACAGUAUAUAUCAUACUUAAAGACAAAAGACUAAAAGCUUUUGAAAGAUGCCUGCUUUCUCUACUUCUAUUAAAAGUAGUAUUGUGGGGCACCUGGGUGGCUCAGUCGAUUGGACAUCUGACUUCAGCUCGGGUCAUGAUCUCACAGCUCGUGAGUGUGAGCCCCACGUCGGGCUCUGUUCUGAUAGCUCAGAGCCUGGAGUCUGCUUUGGCCUCUAUGUCCCUCUCUCUCUUUGCCCAUCCCUCACACAUGUUCUGUCUCUCUCUCUCAAGAAUAAAUAAAACAUUAAAAAAAUUUUUUUUAAGUAGUAUUGGAAGUCCUAGUCAGAGCAAUCAGUCAAGGAAAAGAAAUAAAGACAUUCAAAUUGGAAAGGAAGAAUUAAAUGACCUGUGUACAUAGAUCAUAUGAUCUUACAUGUGAGAAACUCUACAAUAUGCAGAAAAAAUGUUGUAAUUAAUAGUGAAUUCAGUAAAGUAUCAGGGUACAAAACCAACACAUGCAAAUCAGUUGCAUUUAUAUACAGUAACAAUGAAUAAUCUAAAAAAAAAUUUAAAAUAUCAUCAAAAAUAAUAACAAACUUAGGAAUUAACUUAACCAAGGAGGUAAAAGGCUGUACAAUAAAAGUUACAGAACAUUUCUAAAGAAAUUAAAAGAGGGGCGCCUGGGUGGCUUGGUCGGUUAAGCGUCCGACUUCGGCUCAGGUCAUGGUCUCACUGUCCGUGAGUUCGAGCCCCACAUCGGGCUCUGUGCUGACAGCUCAGAGCCUGGAGCCUGUUUCAGAUUCUGUGUCUCCCUCUCUCUCUGCCCCUCCCCUGUUCAUGCUCUGUCUCUCUCUGUCUCAAAAAUAAAUAAAUGUUAAAAAAAAAUUUAAAAAAAAGAAAUUAAAAGAGACACAAAUAAAUGGAAAGACAUUAAUUGUUCAUAGACUGAAAGACUUUCAUAUUGCUAAGAUGUCAGUACUAUCCAAAAUGAUCAACAGAUUUAAUGCAAUCUCUGUAAAAAUAUCAAUAACUUUGUUUUUGCAGAAAUAGAAACACCCAUCCUCAAAUUCACAUGGAAUUUCAUGUGACACUGAAGAGAAAAAAAUAAUCCUGAAAAAAUAAGAACAAAGCUGAAAGACACACACUUUUUAUUUCAAAACUUACUACAAAGCUAAAGUAAGAAAGCAAUGUGUUUGACCUAAAGAAAAACAUAUAGACCAAUGUAAUAGAACAAAGUCCAUAGGGAAACCUUCAUGUAUAUGGCCAAGUGGUUUUUAAUAAGAGUACAAAGACCAUUUGGUGGGAAAAAGGACAGUCUUUUCAAUAAAUGGUUCUGGGAAAAAAUAGAAAAACUGGACUUCAUGAAAAUUUUUAAAUUUUGUGCAUCAAAUGACACUAUCAACAGAAUAGACAAUACACAGAGAAGGAGAAAAUAUUUCCAAAUCAUAUUCCUGAUAAGGGAUUAAUAUCCAAAAUGCAUGAAGAACCCCUAAAACUCAACAAUAGGAAAACAAACAGCUUGACUUAAAAAAAUGAGCAAGGAAUUUAAAUAGAUAUUUCUCCAAAGAAGAUACACAAAUGACCAAUAAAGUCUCAUGAAAAGUUGUUAAACAUCACCAAUCAUUGGGGAGAUGCAAAUAAAAACUACAAUGAAACAUCUCUUUAUAUCUAUGAAGAUAGCUAGUAUGAAAACAAACAGAAAAUUAUGAGUGUUGACAAGGAUGUGGAGAAAUUGGAAGUUUGUGCACCAUUGGUAGGAAUUUAAAAUGAGAGCUGCUUUGGAAGUUUCCUGAAAAAAUUGAAAAGAAGAAUACUAUAUAAUCCAGCAAUUCCACUUCUGGGUAUAUACUCAAAAGAAUUGAAGGAUCUCAAAGAAAUAGUGUGUACCCAUGUUCAUAGUGGUAUUAUUCACCUAUACUUGAUUCUUGGAUGACAUGGAAGGUAAUGACAGGCCUUGUGUAGAGUCCCUUGAGACUUGUCUAAGUAUGAAAGAUCUCCCCAAACUCUCUGACUUCUCCAGUACUUUAUUGUAACAUGGGAGAACAUCUGUAUGUCCUCUUGCUCCUUUGGAAUGGAAUGUGGACGUUGGCUAGCAGAGAGAUAGUGAUUUGGCGAUUACUCCACUGAAUUAGCAAGGGUGUUUAGAACCAGCUCUAGCAAAGAGAAGAACAUACCAGAAAAUGACUGAGUUUUAAACCUGACUGAGAUAACUUAUAAAUCCUGAACUUGAGAGGGUUUUCUGUAAGCAUCUAGAAUAAGUUUUCUGUAUCAGACAGAAUGGUGGCUUAAAAUAGACAUUUUAGUUUAGUUGUAAAACAUAAAUUUCAGUACAUUCAAGUCUGUGGUUUAGUAAAUGUGUAGCCACUACAAGGACAUAAAGUGAAAUGAACAACUGCAAAGGUAAAGGCAAUUAAUUGCCUUGCUUGUUACUUACUGGAUUUGUCUGACGUCCUUUGGCAUUAGUUCAAAAAAGCAGACCUACUAGAAAUGUACUCUAUGAUCAGGAGAUUUUAGUCUAAGAAUAGAUUAUACGGGUCUUAACUAGUCGGACUUGCACUGCUGUGUUAAUGCCAGAGAAGGGAUAGCACUACGUCUGAUGCACACUUACUUCUACUUUCUCUUACAAGACAUUCAGACAUGUGUUAUACACAAUGUUGUAGUUGGAGACUUUGAGACAUAGAGCUACUAAGGACCCUCUCUUGAAACCUACACAUGUAAUCCUACAGCUCCUACAACUAACUGAAAAUUUUAUCCUGUCAAGCUCAGCUCUCCAUUUGAUUAUUCUCUGAUUAAAAAAAAAAAAAAUGAUUCUGGUCACUAUCAAGCUAAUACUGGACUUCUGGCUGUUGUCCACAGAUCUGCAGAAAAACACCCUAGUUUUAUAUUGAAAGAACAGGACCAGUCCUAGGGCAGGUAUUGGGAUUUAAAAAAAAAUCUUAUUUUUGGUAACUUCCCACCUCCACCUUAGCCUACCAAGGAAGAAAUAUCCUUAUUUAGAAUGGCUUUUAAAAUUGUUGGGAGGAGUUACUGCCCUGGUCUCUCUAGGUGGGAGACAAAUUGUCAGUUGAAAUCCCAGCCACAUAACUGUCUUCUAUAUUUCUGAAAUGUUUAAUGUAGGGCUUUUUUUUUAUAAAAAAGAAAAUUUUGUUGAAAAUAUUUUAAACUACACUACUGAAUCAUGACUAUGUGGAUUUGACUGAACAAUAAACUGAGUUCUGUUGUGAGUAGCAUGCUACGAAGAGCCCUAAGAAUUGGGCUGCUGUCAGUUCUUCAUCCCUCUACCAUGAAUUAAAAUUUUUAAUUUGCUGGAGCUGAGGGGAUUAUCUCUGUCUUCAUGGUAGCUACAUUCCUUUCUUUGCCUGGCCAUCUUCAGUUCCUGAGGUUAAUGGCUUUCUAUCUAUCCACAUUCAAAUUGAUUACAGAAAUGUGAAACUUUUGCUCUACAACUGUUCAAAAUGCCUACAUCAGUACAGCUGUAUUUGUAUAAUUCUAACUCUGUUGCUACUUGUUAGGUACUAAUUUUUCAUUAUUGGAGAUUUACUUUUUUUUUUAAUUUAUUUACUAGAGAUUUGCUUUCUUUUAGUGUUUUCUUACAGAAAUGCUUCAUAUAGUUGCUCAUGGUCUUAAGAAGGGAAGCAUUUUUCAGUCCUGUUUCCUCUUGGCUUUUGCAGGGGUCUGUCUCUUUACCUUCUGCAUGACAUCUGGGGUCUUUCAAAAAAAUUUUUUUAAUGUUUAUUUAUUUUGGAGAGAGACAGAAUGCAAGCAGGGGAGGGUCAGACAGAGAGGGAGACAGAAUCCAAAGCAAGCUCUAGGCUCUGAGCUGUCAGCAUGGAGCCUGACACGGAGCUUGAACCCACAAACUGGGAGAUCAUGACCUGAGUUGAAGUCGGCCGCUUAACCGACUGAGCCACCCAGGCGCCCCAGCAUCACAUCUGUGGUCUUUAAUUCAGUGACGCUCAACACCACCCACCCAGAGGCUCCCACUGAAACAGAUCAUUCCAGGAUGCUUCCUUCUUCCUCUCUUCCACCCUAUUAAUUUUUGAGCUUUAUUGUUUACAUUUUCUAAAUAUUUCCCCUAUCUGUGCGUUGUUUUCUAUCUUCUGCCCUAAUUCAGGUUCUCAUCAAUGCUCAGCUGAAAUUUUGUAAUAUUAUUUUGACUUAAUUCAGAGUGUCACCAGAGUAACCUUUCGAGCAAGAAAAUCUAAUAGUGUUACUCUCCUGCUCUGAAUAAUUUGUGGUUCCCCAUUGCCUCCUUGUUUAUAUUAUGUUACUCUUGCUUUUUAGACUCCAGCCAUAUUAAAUUCCUUGUUGGCUCCAUGCUCUCUCAUACCUUCUUGUCUUUGCAUAAUGUUUUUGUUGCAUGAAAGUCACAGCUCAAAUUUAGCAAAUUCCUAAACAUGAUUUAGAUCUUAGCUCAAUUUACCUCUUCUGAGAAGCCUUCUCUAACUCCCCUAGGCAAACUAAGCUGCUUCUGCUUCUUUUUCUACACUACCAUUUCCAUUCCCAUCAAAGCAGUCAUUAUAUUUAUUACGGGUUUGUUUCCCCUCUGACUCCCUAGCAACAUCCCACGUUUACAUUGACAAUUGGAGAGAUUAAGUAAUUUGCCUAAGGCCACCUAGCUUGGUAGUAAUAGAGCAAAAAUUGGAAUCCAGAUGGUCUGAAAAAUCAGGAGUUUAGCCCAGGAGUUAUGCCAGCUACUGUCAUCCAUUAUGGAAUUGACUGGUUCCUGAAUGCUAUAUGAUCUGCUCUGUCAGGACAGGUAGGCUGAAGCUUUAUUACGCUUUGUCAGUAAGUAAUGAGAUUUUGGACUGAAAAAGGCUUCCCGCUAGGCUACAAUCAUCUAUCUAUUUAAGGAUUUCCCUGUGUUUUCUCUAAUAACUGAUCUUUCUGGCCAAAACAUUUUGGGCUUUUUCUGUUUGACCAUUGGAUGCCUUUUCUGUUCAGACUAGUUUAACAACCUCAAACUCUUCCCUCUCCCGAAGGUCUCUCUAACUCUCCAGAACUCAACAAUUAUUCUGAGCUUCAUUUCCAUCAUUCUUACUCAAACCACACUGCCAACUAAUUGUGAAAAAAAAUUUGUGAGCCUAAAGGGUCAGUUAAGUACAAUUUGCAUUAUAAUAGGAAAUUCUUGAAAAUAAAAGCCUUUAAGAUCAAGAAGUAUGGGUCUGUUUGUAGAAUGACAGAUGGUAGGUUUAAAAAAUAUAUUAUCCAGAACUUGUCUUGAAUCACAAUGAUUAGAUUAGAUAAGUUUCUUCCUGAAUGAAGUUGGUCCUGCUUAGAAAUUGACUUUUAACCCUGAAAAGCUUACUAGCAGGGUAUAGGUAUGAAAACGUGACACUUUCUUCCAAUAUUUUCUUCCUCCUAAAAAUAGCUCAUAGAUAUAUGAGUGGCUCCAAUUCUUAAAUUUGCUAGUGAGUUACUUCUAUUUCAGAGACAGGAAGAAACAUAAAGUUACUGUUGAUCCAAACUACCUAGCAAGAGCUUCUGAAUUCACUUUACCUCGCUAAAAUUCACAUCACUUCAUUACAUUUCAUUGUUUAAAAAUUAUCUGCUAUGAUCUCAUCCUCCAUUGAACUUACAGAACCAAUGAAAAAUUAAUCAUGGGCUGCCUUCUUACAUUUCUUGUAAAGUUCAAAACCAUAUGUAAUCUAGUAGUCAUUUGUAGACCCCAACUUUAACACAGUGUUCUAUCAAUCUUUUGAUUGACAGAAGAGUUUCACUACAUUGACCGUUAAACAGCUUUGAGAUAGUAAAACGAAGAGAAGAAAGAUUCCCUCUUUGCAAAACUCAGAAAUCUAGUAUAAUAAAGAGGGACAUAGCACAACUUCUUCCCAAACCAUGAAGCACAGACAAGAACUUGUUGUUACAUUUAAACAUUGUGGAGCUAUGAAAUAAUUUGUUGUUCAUCAUGGUUCAUGAGAACAUCAUUCAAAGUCAACACUAACAACAUUCUAAUAACUUCUAAUACUUCACUUGGGAAAAUGUAAAAUAGAAUGAGUAACCUGUUUUUAAACUGUAAAUUAAAAAUACAGAGCCUGCUUGGGGUUCUUUCUAACCCUCUACCUCCCCCUCCUCCAUUCAAGCUCGUACUCUCUCAAAAUAAAUAAAUUUUAAAAUUUUUUGAGAAAAAACUAAGCUUAAGUCACAGCUGGCAGGUCACAUGGAGUUUAGUGGCAUUGUUUUUGUUGUUGUUGUUGUUGUUUUUUUAGGUCAUAUGGAGCUGAGAAUAUGUAGAUGAGUGGGAGAAGAUGCAGAGAGAGAACAAAAGUGCAAUUACAAAAACAAGUUUCUUCCCCUCUCGGCCACUUGAAAUUGGUUGAAAUUUUCUGUGUAAUCUUUGCUAUAAACAUUAAGUUGAAACAUUAACCUCUCUCUGAGAGACCAGAAUGUAGAGCCAAAGUGGCCAUAUUUCACGAUGCAUAUGUUGAUCUGGGAGAGGAGAUGUUGUGACAGAAAAGAAUGACAUUUCCCUUCAAGUGGACGGUGAGAUUGAGAAACCAGGCUGCCAUUGGAAGAUUAGUGUUACUGCCAUCAGGAGACUGCAUACAAUACUUAUUUUUACUCAAGUACAAGCUACAGUUUUAUAUCUUUUUACAGUUGUGCUUUUUCGUUUCUCUAGGAUGAGAUACCCUGCCAUCUUCCUUAAUCCUCUUGUAUUCAUCCUUCAAAACUUGAUUAAAAACCACAUCUGAAAAGAUUUCUGCUAAUGCAUUUCCUCUUAUUGUGCAUGUUGUUUUCUUUAUAUAAUAAAGUGUAGGUUAUUUGAAAGUUAUGACUGUUUUUUUCAUCUUUGUAUCUGAUGAAUGUGUUCUAUAAAUAUUUAUCUAAUGAAUACAUUCUCAGAGAUUGAACAUAUUUUUGGUUCACUGAAAAUUAGUUUUACCAUUUCUAACAAAAUUCUCAAGUUACCUUUGCAUAAUUUUGACCUAAGUAAUUGGAACAAGUUCUCUUGAAGUAAAUAUUCUACAUUUAUUUUAAUGCUGCUUUAUCUAAUGUACCAUUUAUUUCUCCCUUCUUUAUUUUGUUUUUAAUUUUUUUCCUUUGUUGCUAUCUUCUUUGUUUUGUUUAAAUAUAUUAACAAAGGACCUACUCAAAUCAAACAGCUUUUCAAAACCACUUUAUAUAGUAUUACUAGAAGCUUAUUGUUUGUUCAAUUUUGGAUCAUUUCAGAAGUUAAAAUCUUAUAGAACUAGUCUUUAUUGCAUAGGGAGGAAAGUGUGAGGUUUUUACUAUUGUUGUUAGUGUCAGCUAACACAGUUUCUGACCUUCUAAAAGUUUAUUUUUGUUUUGCAAUAUACAAGCAUACUAUUGAAGUACAACCAUGACUCCUAUGUGUAUAAGUUAAACAAUCUAUUCUGUUCAGUACAACUUCUCGUAAAAUUUACUCUAUGUUGCGCUGUCGUAAAGCACUGUUAUUGAAGUUUCGAAUGAGAGAAACAGAUAGAGACCUUGAGGACAACAGCAGCACAUACAUAAACCUCUUUCUCAACUUGUAUAUUUUUUCUUGGAUACUGGCUACUAGUGGGUGAGAAACUCAAAUCUUAAAUCUGGUAGACGCUGCAAGAAAAUGUAUUCACUUAUUUAUGAACCUAAUGCUCUGAAAUGGCUUUUGGUCCAUGAUGUGUCAAUAAAUAUAGACCAAUUAAAAGUGGAGCACAUUACCUCAUUUAGCCCAUAGUUAAAGCAUGUAAUAUAUGCCUAGCUUGAUAAUGUAAUAUAAUCAUCGAAUCCUGCCAGGAUUAGUCCAAUAUGUUACUUUCUCUAAAAGACUCCUCAUCUAAAGCUUGUCUGAAGAAGUGACCUUUACAAUAAUGGCAGCAUCCAUUUCCAAAGAGUGAGAUGUUCUUGAUGAUCAUGGAUUGUCUGGUUUGAGAGAUUGUUUUAGGUCCUUUGAUUGUUCAGUUGGUUGAAUGAAAACAUAUGGAGGUUAGAGGUUCCAUACUUGAGAUUCUGAUGCAGUUGGUGUGACUUUGUCAUUAAGGUCUAGUUCAUAAAGGUCAAAUAUGCCUUGUAGAGGUAGAGAUGGUAUUAUUAGUCAACAUAUUGUUUUUAGCAUUUAGCACAAUAUGUGACAAAAAGCCAAGAAGAUGGAAAAAGUAUCAUUGUAAUCCAUUUCUUUUUUUUUUUUGGUUUCAAGAUUUUAAGUUUUAUUUUUUUUAAUUUUUUUAAUGUUUGUUUAUUUUUUUUAUAUAUAUAUGAAAUUUAUUGACAAAUUGGUUUCCAUACAACACCCAGUGCUCAUCCCAAAAAGGUGCCCUCCUCAAUACCCAUCACCCACCCUCCCCUCCCUCCCACCCCCCAUCAACCCUCAGUUUGUUCUCAGUUUUUAACAGUCUCUUAUGCUUUGGCUCUCUCCAUUUCUUUUGUUUAAUUCAACAAUUUCCUUAAGCAAGNNNNNNNNNNNNNNNNNNNNNNNNNNNNNNNNNNNNNNNNNNNNNNNNNNNNNNNNNNNNNNNNNNNNNNNNNNNNNNNNNNNNNNNNNNNNNNNNNNNNNNNNNNNNNNNNNNNNNNNNNNNNNNNNNNNNNNNNNNNNNNNNNNNNNNNNNNNNNNNNNNNNNNNNNNNNNNNNNNNNNNNNNNNNNNNNNNNNNNNNNNNNNNNNNNNNNNNNNNNNNNNNNNNNNNNNNNNNNNNNNNNNNNNNNNNNNNNNNNNNNNNNNNNNNNNNNNNNNNNNNNNNNNNNNNNNNNNNNNNNNNNNNNNNNNNNNNNNNNNNNNNNNNNNNNNNNNNNNNNNNNNNNNNNNNNNNNNNNNNNNNNNNNNNNNNNNNNNNNNNNNNNNNNNNNNNNNNNNNNNNNNNNNNNNNNNNNNNNNNNNNNNNNNNNNNNNNNNNNNNNNNNNNNNNNNNNNNNNNNNNNNNNNNNNNNNNNNNNNNNNNNNNNNNNNNNNNNNNNNNNNNNNNNNNNNNNNNNNNNNNNNNNNNNNNNNNNNNNNNNNNNNNNNNNNNNNNNNNNNNNNNNNNNNNNNNNNNNNNNNNNNNNNNNNNNNNNNNNNNNNNNNNNNNNNNNNNNNNNNNNNNNNNNNNNNNNNNNNNNNNNNNNNNNNNNNNNNNNNNNNNNNNNNNNNNNNNNNNNNNNNNNNNNNNNNNNNNNNNNNNNNNNNNNNNNNNNNNNNNNNNNNNNNNNNNNNNNNNNNNNNNNNNNNNNNNNNNNNNNNNNNNNNNNNNNNNNNNNNNNNNNNNNNNNNNNNNNNNNNNNNNNNNNNNNNNNNNNNNNNNNNNNNNNNNNNNNNNNNNNNNNNNNNNNNNNNNNNNNNNNNNNNNNNNNNNNNNNNNNNNNNNUAGUGAAUAAUUUAUUUUGUGUGCUUUUGAGAGUUUCAUAAAGGACUCUUAUAUAUAUACCCACACUUCAAGAUAAGGAUAUAUAUAUAUAUAUAUAUAUAUAUAUAUAUCUUUCACAUACCUUCAUGUGAGACUUCUGGUCUUUUCUAUGUACACCUGCUAGAUAUUACCAUGUUACUCCUGAGAAGGGUUGGAGCAAGGCAAUUUAUACCCCACAUAGAGGUGCUUCAAAGUUAAUGUUUUUCUACCUUUUUCAAUAUCUGAAAUUGUCAAAUAUUAUUUAUCUUGCAAAUCUGGGGCAUGCUAAAGAGUAUUUUCUGGUUGUUUUAAUUUACAUUUCCUUAGGAAGGUUGAAUAUACUUUAAAAUGUUUAUUGGUUAUUAGAAUUUCCUUUUCUGUGAAUUAUAAAUUUGCCUAUUUUUUAUAUUUAUUUUUUAACAUAUAAAUUGUAUUUGUAUAUUCUGUACACUAAUUCUGUCCCUGUUAUGUAUUACUGAAGUAUUCUUUUCCAGCCUACAUCUUGAAUUUUCAGUUUUUUAAUGGUAAUGUUCAUUGUGUGUGUGUGUGUGUGUGUGUGUGUGUAUUAUAGUCACAUUUACAUUUUAUUUAAUUUAUGAUCUGUGACUUUUGUGAUUGACUUAAGAACCUUUAUCCUGAGGCCCUAAAUAUGUGCUAUCUUUUGUUCUAAAAUUAUUGUAAUUUAUCUUUUCACUUUUGAGUCUUUUUCAGACAACCAUAAUUUAUUUUUAUAAAUCUAUAAUUUAUAUUUUAUAAUUUAUCUUUAUAAAUAUUUUAUUUCUUUUCUUAUAUAUGAAUACCCAGUUGUCUCACUCAACUUUCUAAGCUAAAUGAGCACUUUGGUUCUGAGUUAACUAGACUUUCAAGUGACCCCUGUCUCCUUCUUCCCUCUGCUCUGUCAACUUCUCCUCCAAAUUCACUUGAGACCCACACUUCAAGAUAAGGGUUCUCUAGACUCAUAAUGACAUUUCCAGAAUUGAUUGUUUUCUUAUUUUAGCCAUGGAUAGAGAAGGAUAGGCACUGAAAAGAGGAUAUCAGACCUCCAUCCUGAGAUAUAGUUCCUCGCAGGUAAUAAAUAAAGUCACUUCUCUCUAUGGAUCCAUCCCUAAACCUUGAGUGUGGCAACUGAACCGAUAUAGCUUUACUUUUUAUUUGGUCUUAUAAAAGCUUGGUAUAUCAAGUUCCAGUAACUGAAGAGACUGGAGUCUUUGCUCUCUGUUAUCAUCUAGUCGAAACUUCUCUAAACCACACAUAUAUGAUUUCUGAAAUCCUGUAAAGGUGACUUUAUAUGGUGCCCAAACUCUCUUUUCCCCAUUUCCCUUGGCUCCAUCCCCUAAAUUAUACUUAAACUAUAGGGUAAGCAGAAGAAGGGGUAUAAAGUUAUUUUUUUUCUUUUGCCAGCUAAUUUUGAUGCACAGAGAAAAUGGAAAAGCAUUGAUCUACAAGUUUCUGAUUUUUUUAAUGUGCUCUACUUGGCUCUCUGAAAAAUUAGAAAACAUAAAAAUGCCAAGCCAAUUUGCAACAUCAAUCUCUUUUUUCUCUCCCAGAGUGAUUCACAGUUUAUAAAUCAUCACAUUUUGUUCAAAAACCACCCCCCUUUUUUUGCAUUUAUACUACAUAGUGCAAAUUCUAUGUCUCUGAUCUCUUCUGCUUCUCCUCGCUCUUAUCUUUAAUGUCUUCUUGUGAACUAAGACAGCAGUUUUUCUCGGUUUUCUUUUUAAAAGACUCAUAACAUGUGUUCUUUAGCCACCACACAAAUGUUUGAAUGUUUGCAUACUACCAGGGAGGAAAAGUAAUAUCGCCUCUACCCCCUGAGUUCUAAACUGAGACCCUUGUAAUAAAACACAGGUUAAUAAGAGAAAAACAAACAGAAGUGUAUUAACAUGUAUACCUCUUGUAUUCAUGGGAGACACCCAGUGGAAAAAAAAUGAGUAACUCCUUGAGGUGGGUUAGAAUUUAGGAUUAAGUAGCAUCUUAUGAGAAAAAAGGUGAGGGAAGAUGUUGGCCUCAUAGGGGAGAGUCAGUGAUUUUUAGGAAAGAUGAAUGGGCUCUUAGAAGAAGAGGUAAGAAGUAUGAUAGUUUGUGACAAAGGUUGUUGGGUAUGACAUCCAUUUCUAUUUUCUUCUCCUGUGAUGAGUUGGUCCUUCCUGGUUGAUUGAACCCCUGAGCAGGGGAUUUAUGACAACUGAGCUCAUUUUGACAGCUUUGUCUUUAGGUAGAUAAGGGGAGUUCAGAGAAGCCUUCCCACAUUUGCUGCUUAUGAAGAUCCUGUGGCUGAAAAUAAUUAAUAUAACAAAGCGGUAUAUUUUGGAGUGGCGCAUUCUGCCCCCUUUCAAUACCAAUCACAUACAUCUCUCUAGCUUUUAAAACACAACUCUUUAACACACUAAGCUUCCACACCCAUACUCUUCCGUUUUAGGAAGUGUUCUUCAGAAAUCUGAGGUUCUUACCCUAUUAGAAAAUGUCAAGUGGUUUUCAGUUUAUUUUUAUUUGAGGAAUAGUAAAAGGAAAUAAUUAUUUUCAAGCCUCCUAUCUGGCACACUAGACAAGAGAAACUGGAAAGAAUAGCACUUUUUGUCUUGUCAUCAGUUUUCUGCCUUGGCCUUUAAAUUAUGGUUUAAGAGGCCAUCCUGCCAGGAGAGAUGAAAAGUUUGCUUUGUAGACUGAUCAAGCACGGGGAGACUCUGAGCAUAAUGGUAAGGUCCCGAGUGCUUCUGAGGUCACAGGAAGUGGCAGAUAUGCCCAGGAAAAGAGCUGAGCUAGGGGCAGAAAUCCCAGCAGAAUGAGGAAACAAUAGGUGAAAAGUAAAUUAUUCCCCAUAUGUGAUAUAAGAAUAAAUGGCUUAUUUUUCAAUAUUACUUCUCCAGAUCAGAGGAAAACUCACAGUUUGUUGCAGUGAUACAUGGUCUGCCUUGUUUGUUCAUCUGGCUCUCUCUGAUAAGAGUAAUAAAGCACGAAAUGAUUUUACAUACCCUGAUCUUUAAUCCUAAUUCCUGACCCAUCAAUGGCUCUUUUUUCACUACCUUUGUUUAAAACUGGCUAAAUGCGGUGCACCAGGGGAAGGCACGGAGAAGGCACGGAGUUUAUAGGCUGGAUGAAGCACCUUCUGUGUGGGUUUCACUACCUCUCCUUUCUACCAUUGCUACUCCACCGAAAAACUUGGCAGGUGGUUAGGGGCUCCUCAUCUUGUGUUCUGCCUCAUAGCAGGCUGUCUGUUUGGAUCUUCCUUCUGCUCUGACAUAGCAGCAGAGACAAUGGCCCAACAGAUGCUGAUAGUCAGCCUGGAUCAGCCUAUGUUGAUUUUAUGCUUAUUAGUCAGAGCUAGUCACAGCCAGCUGGUUGCUGUUUGCCUUGACUGAGCAGUAGAAAUACACACAACUGCAAUGGCUCCUUGUGUGUGUAUAUACAUAUAUAUAUAUACACACACACACACACACACACACCCAGGUGCUGGCUGCUGUCACAAUUCCUCCUAUAGCAUGAAGUGUAUUUCUUGAUUACUUACGUUUUGUUUUGUUUUCUUGGUUUUUCUUUAUGUGUUUUUUUAGCUUUGGGACAGGCAGAGAGGGAAAAGUAAGGACCCGGUUCAUAAUACAGAUAUAGUAAAAAGAGUCCCAGUAUUUGAAUCUGUGGUAACUGGAGAAAGAAGCUGGAAUUUAAUUUCGUUUGCUUAUUAGUGUUCUCUAAUAGCAGUGAGAAGCCAGUACAGAUUUUUAAAGGCCCAUAAGCAAGCUGCCUUUAAGGCAUAGCGAAUGAAAUGUUUCCUGGGCAGCCAGGUGUCAUGCUGGCUAGUGCUUCAAUAUCCACAACUUACUCCUUUAAUGGUCCCAGGAGUGAAAUGUUUUGAACUGGCCAGUAAGCACUGGGGGCUUGCGGUGACCUGCUCCACUUCAGAACUAGAUGCUGCGUGAAUGCUCUAGGCAUUGUCCUACCUCGUGGUGAAGGAAUACGGGAAGUCCUUUUCAGAGUCGCAAUUCAGUUGUCUGGUCUAGCUGAUGUUCUUGCCUGGAUCUAUAAAAUACUUACACUAAUUUUUUUUUAAUUUGAGUUUUUAAAUGGUUAGCUUGGAAAUAUAUCACCUCUUCUCCCUGCAGCUGUCUGUCCUUAGCAUUUUUUUCCUAUGUACCCCCUCUCCUAAACCGUUUACUCCUUCUUUCUUUUACUCCUUUAUUUUCAGUAAAUAAUAGUAUUUUUAAAGUAAGUACAUGUAAUUAUUCUCCUCACACACAUAUUGCCAUGAAAUCAUAUUGAAAAGGAAAUUGGAAUAGCUGAAAUAUGACCUGUUCCUUGAUUGUUCUUAGAUAUACCCUAGGCAGAUGGAAUGUUUGCUUUCUGUUCCAGCUUAGGAAAUAUGUGAGAUAGAUAUUAUAAAAUUAUUAAAGAUAUCCUUGUUCUAUACUUUAAUGAAUGAUUUUGAUAAAGAUAUAGUUGCUGUGCUUUUCAAAUUGGUGUAUCUUACAAAUAUAAAGAAUAGCAAAUAUAUUUCAUAUCAGAAUCAAGAUUUAAGAAUAGGUUAACAGACUAGAAUGGGCUCAAAACACUAAUUAAUACUUUGAUAAAUAUAAAUGUGAAAUUUCUCACCUUGAUUCAGAAAAAACAAUUGCUUAAUCAGUAUUGGAAUGAUAUGGAUUAAGAGGAUUUUUUAAAUUUUAUUUUUGAGAGAGAGGGGGUGUGGACUUACAAUCAGGAGAGGGGCAGAGGGAGAAGGAGAAAGAGAAUCUUAAGCAGGAUCCAUGCCCAGUAUGGAAAGGGAUGAUGCUGGGCUUGAUCUCAUGCCCAGGAGAUCAUGACCUGAGUUGAAAUCAAGAGCUGGACCCUAAACUGACUGAGCCACACAGGCAACCCUGGAUUAAGAGGAUUCUAGAUUAAAACUAGGAAAUGUGUAGUAAGAGUGUACCAUUUCCCAUUUCUUUGCUAAGGCAAACAUUUCUAAUAGCACUCUUUCCCUUGCAGCCAGGCUAAAAUUUGAGAUUUUCCCCAUUAGGACAAAUAGCAAUCGAUUAGAGUUGAUGCUGAAUUUAAAAUAUUGACGUAUAGGUCUUGGAUUCUGGGCCUGGGUCUGAUUUCACUGAUAUUAGGAAAAUAAGCCUUGGGACCUUAGUAAAAUUGUUUUCCCUCUCCAGUCUUCAGUUAUAAUUUCCUCAUUUGUGAAAAAGGAAUUUAGACUGUUUAAUUUUUAAAUUCUUUUCCAACUCUGAUAUUCUACGUGUUCUAUCAUUUUAUGAGUAAAUUGAAUGCUCAUCCAACAAAAUUGUGAUGCUCUAGAUUUAAAAUAAUGCAAUGUGAAACUGAAUUAGUUGGAAGGAAACAAGAUUUCUAAUGAGAAGUCGUAAGUGUGUAUGUAACUAGAUUUUCAUAUAAUUUCUUAAAUAUUAUGUUUGAAGAAUGACUUUAGUGAAUUGGAGAUCUAAGGGGAGGGAAGCUAGAUGGCAAAGAGUUUAGAAAAAUGUUACAAAAAUGUUUAGAAACAACUAGGUGUGUUUCAUCCCAAAAGAACAAAGAACAAAAGGAAAGAAGGGAGGAAGGAAGGAACAUGUGCACUGCUUUCUAAUUAUGAAUAACUGUUAAGUAAAAGAAACACUAAAUUUCUUCCUUUGGAAAUAUAAAUGGGGCCAAGUUUCAGGCAGGUAGGUUUGAUUCAAUAUAUGGAAUAAUUUUAUAUAUUAAAAAUUAUCCAACAAAGUAUAAGGCAAUCACAGGGUCUACUCCUAAUAAUGGCUGAAGAUUCUACAGAUUUCACUAUGAGUCAGGGACUCUUUUCAGUGAUUUACUCAUUUAAUGCCCUUGCUGACCCAAUGAGGUAGGUACUAUUAUUAUCUAUGUUUUUAAAGCAAAGAAAUGGCAGGCCACAAAAAUUGAGUAAUUUGUCCAAUAUUGCAAAAGUAGAUUUAGUGUGUUGCUCAAGGUGGCAAAAGGCAGGACUCACCACAAAGCCUUAGUCCGGAGCCUAGGUUGUUAAACACUAUUAAUAUUGUCCACACUAGAAGCUAAUAUUAGCUUGAUGUUCAUUGUCUAGAGAUAUUGAAGAAGAAAAUGGGAACCUGAAAUGUAUGAUGUCUAUAGCCCCUUCCCACUCUACAAUUAAUACUGAAUUAAGAUUGCCCAUACUUCACGCUUUGAGAUCAUGGAAAUACAGAUUUGACACAGUAUUUAAAAUUACAAUUUUUUUCUUUACAGUAUGAUUGACUAUAUUCCCUCUGCUGUAAUUUUCAUAACUUUAUAUAAUGUAAUUUUCACUUUCCUGAUGUUAUAGUUUAGUUUUAUUGGUACAGUUGCUGAAAAUAGCUCAAAAAAUGUAAAUGGUGGCAAUGUUAAUAUUAUAUGGAUAAAGCUAUCUAAUUUUUAUACAUCUUUUCUCCUGGUUUAAUGACUUUUGGUAACCUUAACUAGUAAAUUCAAGCUUAGAAAGGUAUGAAAUACAGAUAAAAAAGCAAGGUAAGAGAUGUUUUGGAAAAAAAAAUGUCACUGCUGCUUGAAGAAGUCUAUCAUAUAACAACAUCCUUUUCAUUAAAAAAAUGCAUCUGUAUUGCUUAGUGGCACUUAUACUGGUCAAAAUUAAUGUUAUUAAAAUUCAUGCUUACUUUUUUAUUGCUUACACUCACUAGCUGAAGCAACUAUGAAUAAUCCAUAAAGCUCAUGGAAAACCAAACUAAUGAAGACGUGAAGAUCCCAGAGAAACUCAAAGGUCUGGUCCUGCCAUUCCCCAUGUACAAGUAUUGCCUGUCACUCUAUUGCGAUACAUGGACCUCCAUUAGUUCCUCUGAACUUUCUAAGACACUUGUGAUCAAGCUUUUUCAAGUCUUGAAAAAGCUGCCUCGGAGCUUCUGGCUUCCGGACAGCCUCUGUCAAAGAAAAGAAAAUUCUACUUACUGAUUCCCCUUUCUACAUCUUUCAAAAUUAUAGGUACUUUAUUUUCUUUUGUUAUUUUUUCUUUCCUACACAAUUAAUUAAUAACUCAAUGAUAUUAAGUAAGAUCAUUAUAACUACAACUCAAUAUUAAUCCAGAGAAUGACAGAGACUUGCACUCUGUAAUCAGAUUGAGUCUGUCACUCGUGGUGCUGUAAUUCUUCUUCCCAACGCUUUUAUCUAUUCUGGAUCAUCAAUAAGCCUCAGUGACCUCUGUGGAUAAAGCUAGGGCCCAGAGCAUCAUUCAUCAAACUACUUCAUCUGUUGCUACUCAGAGACACAAGAGUAGGUUUUUGGCAUCUUUCCAAUAGAAGUAGGGUCCAUGUUAUGCUAUGUUAUAUAUUUAUUAUUUUUUAAUAUGGCCCUUAUUUUGUGUUGUAUUUUAUUCUCUGCUUUCUAUUUUUCUAACUUCUCGGGAGAUGCUUUCUCUGAAUUUUUAUAUCUAUGUUAUGUAUUUCUUUCUUUUACAUGUCCAUGCCAGUGUCUUUUGUUCACAAAUUAAAAUGUAUUAUGUGUUAUUUUUAUUAUGUAUAACUUACCAGCAUUUCCUCUCUUAAGAACUGAUCAAUAAAAGGUGAAGGAUAUGUGGUUUCUCCUCAGUCAAAAUAACAUUAACUUUGGUUGAUAUAUGAAUUUUGAUGAUAACAUUGGCCUGACACAGAUUGCUGAGAGAAUGAGUGGUGGAAACAACUUAGUGGAAGCAGUAUCCCCACUUCUAUUGUUUAUAAAGAAAGAAAUCAGUCUAUUAUUGGGAGAAUAAAGCUAAAACGAUGGAGUUUUCUCUGAAAGAUUUAUAUUUUAUAUACUAACAUUAGUUAAAUAUUAACAUUAUUGAAGUCAAGAAUAAGAGUCUUUGCAGUUGAGAAGCCCCACCCCAUACCUUGCAUGGUUGUUGGCCCCUAUUAAGUACCCAAGAAAUCAAUAACAUGAAUGGAUUAAUAAUUAAAUGAGUUUAUAAUAAGGUAUAAAAAGUCACUGUAUGGCUAUUAUUAUGUUCAGUUGGUAUGCUACAUAGAUUGUCAGAUCUGAAUUAUUAUUGUAUCAUAAAUUAUUAUAUCUAGAACCAGUCAGGAAAAACACAUGUGAUCUUAAUCUGCUUUUCUGAUGCUGUAUUAUAAAGAUAUUUUACUACAUUUUACUUUUUUUAUUAAGUUUAUUUAUUUUGAGAGAGAGAAAGGAAGCAAGCCAAGGAGGGACAGAGAAAGAGGGAGAGACAGAAUUCCAUGCAGGCGCCACACCAUCAGCCCAGAACCCAAUGCUGGGGUGGAUUCUAUAAACUGUGAGAUCAUUCACCUGAGCCAAGAUUGAGAGGUAGACACUUAACCAACUGAAUCACCCAGGGACCCCAAUAUUUUACUACAUUUUAAAAUAAAAACCUCUGCGGUGCUUGGUUGGCUCAGUCGGUUAAGUGUCCAACUUCGGCUCAGGUCAUGAUGUCAUGGUUCAUGAAUUUGAGCCCUGCAUCGGGCUGUGUGCUGACAACUCAGAGCCUGGAACCUGCUUCGGAUUCUGUGUCUCCCUGUCUUUCUUUGCCCUCCGCCGCUCGCACUCUUCUCUCUCUCUCUCUCUUUCUCUCAAUCUUGAAAAUAAAUCAACAUUAAAAAUUUUUUUUUUUAAUUUUUUUUCAACGUUUUUUAUUUAUUUUUGGGACAGAGAGAGACAGAGCAUGAACGGGGGAGGGGCAGAGAGAGGGAGACACAGAAUCGGAAACAGGCUCCAGGCUCCGAGCCAUCAGCCCAGAGCCCGACGCGGGGCUCGAACUCACGGACCGCGAGAUCGUGACCUGGCUGAAGUCGGACGCUUAACCGACUGCGCCACCCAGGCGCCCCUNNNNNCUGUCUUUCUUUGCCCUCCGCCGCUCGCACUCUUCUCUCUCUCUCUCUCUUUCUCUCAAUCUUGAAAAUAAAUCAACAUUAAAAAUUUUUUUUUUUAAUUUUUUUUCAACGUUUUUUAUUUAUUUUUGGGACAGAGAGAGACAGAGCAUGAACGGGGGAGGGGCAGAGAGAGGGAGACACAGAAUCGGAAACAGGCUCCAGGCUCCGAGCCAUCAGCCCAGAGCCCGACGCGGGGCUCGAACUCACGGACCGCGAGAUCGUGACCUGGCUGAUGUCGGACGCUUAACCGACUGCGCCACCCAGGCGCCCCUAAAAAAUUUUUUUAAUAAAAAUGUAUCUAUUUACCAUAGUCAGACAAGUGUAUUUACACAUCAAAAGAAACAGAAAUCAUUCCAAAAUGUCCUUUAAGUUGGGAAUAUAGUUGGAUUUACUGUUCAUCAUUCUUAUUCUUAAGUGUCUCAUAAGUGCCAUGGAAUAUACUAGCCUACGUGGUCUUUAACUUGAAUUGAGUAUUAAAUAUUUGGUAAUUUUAUAGUCUAAGUUUUUCCAGUGAAAAGAUAAAAUAAUGUUUAUCUAAAAAUGUUCAGAACCUCAGUUACAGAAUCAUGGGAAUUCAGAUCUUCACCCCAAGCUCUUCAACUGUUAGGUGAGUCAAGGGAGAUUUUAUGGACUCAGUACAAUUCUGGAGAACUACAGAGGGAUAUGUUGGUGGAAUUUUAUUUUCCUAGAACUGGGAUCAUUAUUGCUACUUGUAAUUAGCUUCCCACAGAAAUUCCACUGAUUGUUACAAGUUCAUUUCAAAAGAUAGUCCUAAAUUCUGUUUUCUUGUUUUGUUCCUUGGUUUGUGUGCUUGUUUGUUUCUAAACCAUCCAGGAAGACUUUGCAUUGCUCCAAUAGUAAGUUUGAGUUUAGUAACUCCUGAUCUGGGAUGGACUUAGAUGGUAGCAUGUCAAACCUGUGGUGUAGCAAAUCUACGAAAGUUUGGCAUCUCUACCAUUCUUUCAAGGUAACUUUUACCACCAUCCAAUUUCUUGCUAACAUCAAGGUUGCCCCUAAUCUGUGUAUGCAUGAAAAGUGCUAAUUGCUCUCUAUAUAUCAAGCCUGUUUUCUGAAUUUUCAGCAGCUAAGAGACAUUAGAAUAAAAACAAAUCUGUGGCCCAGGACAGGCAGACAUCUUAAUUGUCCAUUAACUAUUUUCUUACACCCUUUUGACUCAAUCAGGCAACCAAAAACAGUCACUGAUAAUCUGCUCUAAAUUCAUUCCAGAGGUUUCAGCUAUGUAGGCAAAAGUGAAAAUGAUUAGUUGCUUGCAAAGAAAAGAGAACCCAUGGGGACUAUUUGAUGUGUUCUUAAUUUAUUUCCCUAGUGUGUGAAAGAACAAAUGCUUAAGUAUAUUAAAUCCCUUUACUUCCCAGUAUUUUCUUAAAUUUUCUUGGGUUGUAAUGCUCAGUUAGUUGAAAAUCACUCUGCUUCUGUUUAUACCUUUACAUAUUUGUGUCUUUUGGGUUCCUGGUUUGUUUGCUUUCUUUUUUAAGCCAAUUUUAAUCUCCUUUCUGAAUAAAUUUCUUCCCUCAAUUUUAUUAUUAUUUAAAUUAUUUUACCUUAGUUUUUUUUCUAUUUUCAGUUAUUUGUUGAACCAGGUUUGACUUGCUUCUCUUUUUCUUAGGUAUCUAUUUUAGUUUAAUUUUUUUAACAGUUCAUUUAUUGGGGCACCUUGGUGGCUUAGUUGGUUAAGUGAUCGACUUCGGCCCAGGUCAUGAUCUCACCGGUUUGUGAGUUUGAGCCCCCCCGCCCGGCUCUGUGCUAAUCGCUCAGAGCCUAGAGCUUGCUUCAGAUUCUGUGUCUCCCUCUGUCUCUGCCCCUCCCCCACUCACACUGUCUCUCUGAAAAAUAAACAUUAAAAAAUAAAUAAAUAAAAGCUUAUUUAUUUAUUCUGAAGGAGGGGCGGGGCAGAGAGAGAAGGAUAGAGAGAAUCCCAAGCAAGCUCUGAACUGCCAUUGUGGAACCAGGGGUGAGGCUUGAACCCAUGAACUGUGAGAUUAUGACCUGAGCCGAAAUCCAGAGACUGACGUUUAACUGACUGAACCACCCAGGCGUACCAUCUAUUUUAAUUUUAAAUUGGUACCCAACAUUUCUUGACACUAUAUCCUUCAGGAUUCAAGAUCUAGAAUUUCAACAGGAAUAUCUACUUUGGAAUCUGUUGUGGGAGACUAUAGGAGUUGCCAAACUUUGGUACAUUCCAAAAUAAGUAUAUUCUUGUCCGAAAAACAAUGACAUAUUUACUUUAGGCUUGCAGGAGUAGUCUUCAAUUACAUUCCUUAAAAAAUUGGGAAAGAAUAUAAAGAUGAGACUAAAAUAUUUCUGUGGAAUUUGCAUAUGAGGAUAAGGAAUUGAGUUCUAGAAAUUGAAAAGUACCAACUCUCUCUCUCUCUCUCUCUCUCUCUCUCUUUCUUCUCUUCUCUCUGUACCUAUCUCUAUUUCUCUGCUGGCUUCACAGGAUCUCCAGAGUCGUUUUUCAUUUUUUCACCCACUCCCUUUUAUUUCCUUUUGGAUCUUCCUCACAUCUGUUUUGGUUCUCUGAAUCUUGUCUCCACCCAGCUCUGGAUAUCUGGAGUAGAGUCCCCUUCGCAGUGGUUGGAGGAGAGAUCAAAUAUAAAAUGCAUAUUUUUUUCAAAAAUAUAUUCUGGGCUGCUGGAAAUUUUAUCAGGGAGUAACUAGCACAAAUUCAACCAGAAAAGUUGAAGCUCCUAGGAAAUUAAAUAUAUAUACAUAUAUAUAUAUAUGUGUGUGUAUAUAUAUAUAUAUACACACACAUAUAUAUAUAUACAGUAAAAGAAUAUUGAAGAAUUUAGAGGAAAAAAGAAAACUUACGAAUAUUGUUGAAGAGAUCUUUAUCAAGUAAGUCAGAAAUCAAUUCAGUUUAAGCCUAGAAUUCUGCUAAAUAUAGGUUAGUCAGAUGUCAUAGUAAGUCUUGUGGCUCUUCAAGAACUUGCAAAUAGUGUAUUUGUUUAAUAGCAACUUUACAUAAAUGUGUUAGAAAAAAUGAAAACCUCACAUCAGUGAAGUUAGUACCAUUUCACUAAUUAAUAUUUCACAAUAAAUCUGGAUGCUAUCAUGAUGAAUCCUACAUCAGAUGAAGACAAUGAAGAAAUAAAACUAACAUGAUUUUUUUGGCAACAGGGUUUGAGCUCUGUGUGGGAUGUGCCAGGUGUGCUGAAACAGGUUUCACCACACUCAAUUCUCUAAUUAGCCAAACCAUCAAAACCACUGCAAGAAUGUUUCGCACUGUUUAUUGUUUCUUUUUAUUUGGUUGUUAUUAACUCCCUGCCUCCCUGCAUCUGUCCAAUAUAAUACAAUGUGAGGAAGUCCUGAAACCCAGGUUGAAAGAAAAACAAACGUAAUGCAUUUGUGAACUAGGUGUUGAUUUUGUCACUGUCUUGGUCUGUGAACUUUAAUAAGUUAGUUAACACAUCUCAGUUUUCCUCUCUAUUCAUAAAAGUUUGGAAAAGGACUCAAACAAAACUGCAGUAAUAGUUGUUGUAUGUAUACCUAAUACAUAGGAGCUGACUAAAGAAAAUGAUAUUUGAUUAAUUUUUUGUCAGGUCAUCUCAUUACUAUAGUUAUAUUCCUUUGUAUUUUGCUUACAUUCUGCAAGCAUUAGAAUAUGACUUGCCUUUCCCUGAUCCUAUCUAAUUUGAGAAGCUAUACAUUUUAUAGCUUUACCAUGACUUUCCUUCUCAAUCUUUUUAGCCUCGCCAUUUUUGUUGCAUUAUCGCAGUGCCUUUAUUAAUUUAAAUACAUAUUCCUAUUAGAUGCAUUUCAUUAUCAGGAACCUUUUUGUACCAUAGACCUGCAUAAAAGAGCUCAUUACCAGGAUCUGUGAUGGUAAAGGUGUUAAUGAAGCAUGCCUGUUUUAUAUGUUUUUUUUUUUUAACGUUUUAUUUAUUUUUGAAACAGGGAGAGACAGAGCAUGAACAGGGGAGGGUCAGAGAGAGGGAGACACAGAAUCUGAAACAGGCUCCAGGCUCUGAGCUGUCAGCACAGAGCCCGACAGGGGGCUCGAACUCACAGACCACGAGAUCGUGACCUGAGCCAAAGUCGGACGCUUAACCGACUGACCACCCAGGCGCCCGUGUUUUGUAUGUUUUGAACAGUGCCAGAACAAUUAAGAUGCCUUUCAAAAUACCAGUGCCUAUAUUACCAUGGUCAAAAAAAGUUUAAAGCCCCUAGGAAUCUCAUCUAAAUUUACACAAAUAAAUUUAAACAAUAUAGAAAACAAGAAGUAUAUGAAAAAUACAUUAAACAUUAAAAAUGGAUAGUGUUGAAAGUACAGAGUACAUUUUCAAAGUUACGAAAUAUCAAGAUAUCAGUAGGUAAGUGGAUCUUCAAAAGAGUAGAUAUUUAUUUUAUUUUUUAAGUUUAUUUAUUUUGAGAGAAAGAGAGAGCAGGGGAGGGGCGGGGGGCCAAGGGGCCAGAGGAUCCAAAGCAGACUGUGGGUUGAUAGCAGAGAGCCCAAUGUGGAGCUCUAACUCACAAACUGUGAGAACAUGACCUGAGCUGAAGUCAGACGCUUAACCAACUGAGCCACGCAGGCGCCCCAAGUAGAUAAUUGAUUUAAAAAAAAAAUCUAGGUAGAAAAUAAACAUCUGGUAACAUGAAUAAGUUCUCUAGUAAUUAAAACUUGCAAAUUAAAACAAUGAAAAGGUACGUUUAAAGCCUAUUGAAUUAAAGAACAUAAUACCCAAUGCUAAUGAGGUUGGGGUAAAACUGGUACAUUUAUGCAUUAACUGGUAGCACUGUAAAUUGGUACAGAGCUUUUGAAAAGCAGUAUCACUAUUCUAGAGACCUUGAAAAUUGUUUCUACACUUGAUUUCUUAAACUCAUUUUUUAAUCAGUUAAAAAAAUACAGAAGCAAAACAAAACUUUUCAUCUCUAAGAUGUGAUGUUUUGCAUUUAAAAAAUACCAAAACACUGAAAAAUCAUUUAAUGAUUCACAGUCAUACAAUUUAGUAUUAAAUAAGAAAAAAAAGCAGAGUUCAAAAUUAUAUGAACGUUAAUUUUGUAUAUGGUCAAAGACUAAAAGGUAGCACAAAUUACAAAACCACUAUUGGCCUAUUGUAUUGGGAUUAUUAUUUAGUUGGUUUUAUUUUCAAGUUUCUCUUUUAUUAUAUUGUUUUAAUAAUAGUUUGCGUAAAGAGACACAAUUUUUUUAUAAUAUGAAAUCUUAUUAAAAUUGCAACUCUCCUAGGAGAUAUAAUAAGCUUAGCAGGGAUAUGUUGACAACAAACUAGAAUCAGGCUAGCUGGCUUUUUAGGAUGCAUAAAGAAUUGCUUAGGAAAAGAAUGAGUAUUAGAAAGAGAAAAAAGCUAUUGAAAGGAAACUGCUGGCCAACCAAAUUCAGACCUGUUCUACUUUGAAACUUGACCCAGGACUGAGUAAAGCCAAAGUACUAAUGAUCUUCACUGUAGUUUUAAAAUGAAUGAAAGUCACCUUGUCGGUAGUUGUUGAGUUCACCUAUUAAGCAUUGAUGUUUUCUUAUAUGUCCUCUUUUAUCUAUAUUUAUGUGUACCUUUUUCCUACAAGUUACUCUUUUAGGUUAUUUCAAUAUCAAAGAAUGAAUGUAUGAAUUUUAAAUAUGUAAGUGCUACAUAUAAACAUUUUAAGCAUGCUACUUUGUAUUCUAAAUAUUUCUUUAUGAUUUUAUAUGCAUUUCUUUUGUUUCUUCACUUACUGAAUAUCCUGUGAUAAAUCUAUUUUAGUUGCCAUUUGAAUUUCUAGUCUUCCUUCCCAAUGUGAAUUAGAUUUUCUUUCCAUUUAUCCCUCCAUAUCAUUUUAAAUCAUGAAUAAGUUAACCAAGGUGACAGCUUGGAUGAGCUCCAGAUGUUUCAGGAAGUGCACAUUCAUAUUUUUUGUCAAUAUUCUUAAUACAAGAAAAUGUUUUUUUGCUGUUCUUAAAUCCCUAAAUUAUAAUUGGCCUAUAUAAGAAUACUUAAAAAAUUAAUAAUCUCAAGUAAGGUAUUGUCCAUUAUAAAUGUAUGAGAAACUGCUCAUGGAAAGUAAAAGUCCUUCUUCCAUAAUUAUGACCUUUGUAAUCACGAUGACAAUUUUUACCAACAUACUGUGAAAUAAUCUUCAUGCAUGUGCAGCUUUUCUCAGAUGGUUUCUAAACACAAACUAUUUUUAGGUGUGAAUCUUUAUUUUCUACACAUGUGAUUCAAAACAUUCUCAGUAACAAUAAAUAUCUCUUCUAGGAUCAUAAAUGAAAGCACAAAUUGUCUUAUUUUCAAACACAUCUUUUUACAAUAAAUAUAAUUCAUAAAAUCCCACUGGAGCCGGAACAGGUUCUUCCACUUGGGAUAGGGGAGCUAAACAUUAUUAGGGAUUACCUUUUAUUCAUUAUUUAAACAUGGUAUGAUGGGAUAGCCUAAAUACUGUUUAAAUUUAUGUGUAUUGUUUUCAUGUUAAUUUAAAUGGCUAAACAUGGAUAUGACAAAGAAAGAAAGAACUAUGCUCUAGGACUCCACAAUCUGUGCAACCCUUCAUCUAAUUUGUAUAAAAUUUCAAAUAUAGGAAAUGAACAUCCCAUUUGUCCAUCAGAAACUAGAACAUAGAGGUGCCCAGAAGGCUCUGUUGAUUAGACAUCUGACUUCUGCUCAGGUGAUGAUCUCACGGUUCCUGAGUCCAAGUCCCAUGUGAGUUUGAGCCCCGUGUCCGGCUCUUUGCUGUCAGCGCACAGCCUGCUUCAGAUCCUCUGUCUCCCUCUCCCUCUACCCCACCUCUGCUCUCAUGUGAUCUCUCUCUCAAGAAGAAAUAAACAUUUAAAGAAAUUUUAAAAAAAGAAACUAGAACAGGGACACAAUUUUAUCUCAUUUUUAAAUAAAGAGGAAAAAUGGAGCCCUCUGCAAUGGCCAGUACACAAAAUCUUUCAGGAAGGCAGAUAAUACCAUACCUUCUUUCCAAAAAGAUCUGCAUAAUAGCUCUUUGUUAAAAUCAAUCUUUCUGCAUGUCUCUUCUCUCUGUUUCCCUUUGUCUCUGUCUCUCUCAUUCUACACAUAUCCACAACUACCCCCCAACACCAGUAUUAAUUUUUAAGUUUGCUUAUUAAUAUUAAGAAAUCAGAUUCCAUGUAUUCUCUCUCUUCGUCUUUGUGUUCAUCUCAAAUUUCUAUAUCCAAUAGGUGUAAAGAUCAGUUUCUGAUAUCUUCAGUUUCAUAGAGAAUUUUCACUGGGCAUCUUUGAAAAGAGCAGGUCAGAUUGUAUUGAGCUAUUAUGGUAGGAGACACAUACUUCAGUAUAGAGCAGAACUCAACUUAAUACAGCAAAGACAUCUGCGGAUUUAUAGUCAAUGUACAGAGUGAGAGAGGCAGUAGAUGGAAAAUUAUGACAAGGAACUUGCUUAAUUAUCAAGGCGGGAAAGAUGAAGAACUUGAUUAGGUAUCAAAGAUGGAAUUUCUAUACAAAAUGGGCUCAGUGGGCCAAAGGCAAGUCCUAGUGAAAUUUGGUCAAGAAGGGAGUCCUUAUCAUCAGUGAGUCAUGAUUAUAUUCUUUAUAUAAGGGCUGCAAUCUUAAUAUUGGAUACUCAUUGACUGUAGAGCCAGAAGGGUCCUCAAAGAUCAAUUCCUUCUCUAUAGAUGAGAGAACCUGGGGCCAUAGAGGCUAUAAGCAAUCUGCACAAAGUCAUGAGCUAGUAGGUGAGAGAGACCCACUGGACAUAGGUCUCCAGAGCCUAGCCAAAGGAGCUGUUUUCGUAAGCAUUCUUUCUUACCUAAUAUGGUAGAAACUCCCUACUUUCCCAUUUUGACAACCAACAGAAUUUUCCUUUAGCCAAAACACUCCACUGAUAAAGUUAUGCAGGUGCCAUCUAAAGUCAACGAACCAAAAUUGUCUAUGUUCAUUUCUUAACCACUGCAUGAUUAAAUUGCCACUACACACUCCUAAGCACAAAUGUAAGUGUUAAAUAAAUUAAAGGAAUGAAUGAGUGAAUGACCUUCUCUCAAACUAUUCCAAGACAUAAAAAAUAUAUAGUAUUCUUUAAUGAGUUAUUUUCUAGUUUACACAUAUUCCUUUAUAAUCCUGGAAGAGGUUCACUUCUAACCUGAUUAAAAUUUCUAUAUUGUGAAUUUUAAUGGCCAUUAUCAUUUUAAAUAAGACUCUUUCCCAAACAUUCCCUUUACCAAAGAUAUUGUUUUAACCAAGUGAAAUAUGUUGACCCCACAUAUUUUUGGAUUUUUCAUCUCUUAAAUCACUAUGCAUGUUUUUCUUACUGAAAUUUUCCAUUUUUCAGAAUACUGCUGUCUCAUUUCAUUAUUUUUGUCUUAUGGUCUUCCAGCUUUGAUCUGCUUUUGAUUUAGCCCUUUCUUUCUUUUUUUUUUUUUUUUCUUGUCACCACAGUCCUGGUAAGAAAAGAGAAGGCUUCACACACAUAUGAACACACAAAUUUAUUUAACUUUGGUCACUCACUCAUUAUUCUGUGUUUAAGACCAUGGCAUCUGAACUCCAGCUCAAAGUUUGGCCUACUUCUAUGCCCCAGUUAGUUAUAUCUAAAUUGGAGAUGUUAAUAGAUUCUAUCUCAUAGAAUUUGGUGAAGGAUAAAAUGAGUUAUUUCAUGAGAGGAGCUUAAACUGAAACCUCAGCACACAGUAAAUUACUCAAGAAGUGAUAUGUUUGUAUUAAACUCUCAGUAAAUUAUCUUUCCAAAGAUGGGAACUAUCUUCAAUUGUACUUGCAUAAUUAUUUUACAAAUUAGUGCCAGUAAAACUUUUUCCACUAAAGACUGUUUGAAGCCAUACGGUUUCCAUUCCAAAUUCAUAUUGCUCUCAUCUUUUAUUCUAACUCAGAAAACCUUCACUGUAAUACAAGGGGAAAGUGAUCAUUCCAUUGAAAGAGAUACAAAGAAGAUUAUUUUAUUUUCUUUAUGCAAUAAACUCUAUGCCUUUCUUUUCAGGAUUUUUAUUUUGGAGAUGUAGUAGAUUACUGGACUUUUGUCUUGGCAGCAGUUGCAAUAUGAAGGCAUGUUGUCUUAAGAGUGUGUUGAUCUGUUCUACACGAUGACUUUUGGUUGUAUGAUGCUCUGAGGUGAAGGGUACCUUUGGGAUCCACAUACUUGGAUAUAUUCAAAGCUACAAGGAUACCUUAGAAUUUAUUUAUCUUUUUAAAAAAAAAUUUUUUACAUUUAUUUAUUUUUGAGUGAGACAAAGCAUCAGUGGGGGAGGGGCAGAGAGAGAAGGAGACACAGAAUCCAAAGCAGGCUCCAGGCUCUGAGCAAGCAGUCAGCACAGAGCCUGAUGUGGGGCUCGAACCCACGAACUGUGAGAUCAUGACCUGAGCUGAAGUUGGACGCUCAACUGACUGAGCCAUGCAGGCGCCCCUAGAAUUUAUUUAUCUUUGGGUGUGUUAAUAUGUGGCCACACAGGAAAUAUAUAUUUACAUUUUAACCCAAGGUAGAGGCAAAUUUAUUGGAAAGAAAACUGGCUAGAGAUUAAGGAGAUUGUAUUUCUAAUCCUGGCCCUAGAGAUCAUUAGCUAAACUAGAGGAAAUCCCUUAAUUAGUCUGGGCUUCAAUAUACUCAUCAAAAUAAAUUGGCUCAGUCCUUGAACAUUUUCUCUUCUUUGUUUACACUUGUGUCCUAGAUGAUUUCAUACAGUCAUAUGGCUUUAAAUACUAUAACUGCACUGACAACUUUCAAAUGUAUAAUUCCAACACAGAAUUUUUCCCCCCUGAAAUCCAGUUCUGUGUAUUUAAUCAACUCCUAAUUGUUGCCUCCAACUGAGCAUUUAUUAGAAUUCCAAGUUUUUAGUAUCCAAAGUAAACUCCUGAUUACCCUGAAGUCUUCCCCGUCUUGGUAAAUGGCAACUCCAGACUGUCUGAAGCAAUGCCCAUCUAUUCCAAACUUGACUCAUUCUUUAUUCGAAUUCAGGAAACCAUUCAUCUAUCUCCUGUGGACUUCUAUCACAGCAAAUGGCAAUUCUGCCAUUUCAGUUUUAUAGACCAAAAACCUUGGAAUUAUCCUUGACACCUUAUAUUCUCUUAUUCUUCAUUUCUUAUCUGAGAGCACAUACUCUUGGACCUAUUUUUUUAAGUUUAUUUAUUUACUUUAAGAGAGAGAGAGAGAGAGAGAGAGAGACAGAUCUGGGGAGGGGACUAGAAAGGGAAAGAGAGAAUCCCAAGUAGGCUCCACACUGGCAGUGUGGAGCCCCAUAUGGGGCUCAAAUUCAUGAACCAUGAGAUCAUGACCUAAGCUGAAAUCUAGAGUCAGACAUUUACCGACUGAGCCACCCAGGUGCCUUGCAUCUAUUUUUAAAAUAAAUACAGAAUCUGGCCACACGUUACCACUUGCUAAAACGAAAGACAAGGCUGACAUCAUUUUUCACCAGAACUCUUACAAUAAAAUUCUAUCUGGUUUCUUUAAUUCAACUUUUGCACUCCUCACCAGUUGCUAUUUACACAACACAGCCUCACUGAUUCUUUAAAAAUUUAGGUAUGAUCAUGUUAUUCUGCCCAUUCAGAAUUCUGUUGUAUUCACAAUGAAACUCUAAAUCCUUAUCACAGCAUACAAGUCCAAAUAAUCUGAACCUUGACCACUUCUUUAACUUAGUUUCAACCAUUCUUGCCCUCAUUAAUUUAACACUGGCCUCCUUGCUACCUCUCAUAUAUACAGAAUAUAUUCCCUGCUCACAUGAGGGCAUUUGCCUCUCCUCACCCACCCCUGCAGCAUAGUCUUCCUCAGUUGAUUACUUGGCCCUUUCCAAUCUUCCCUUAGGCCUAUCCUCAAAUACCACUAUCAUUGAGAAUACUUCCCUAAUACCGUCUGGGACUAUAGCUCCUUAUUUUACCCUUUCAUUUUUUUGGCAGUGCUUAUCACUGUAUAUAUACAAGUAAACUUGUAUAAGUAGAGUUGAUAUAUUUAGUGAUACAUAUAUAUAUAUAUAUAUAUAUAUGUAUGUACAUACAUAUAUAUAUAUAUAUAAUACACACACAAACUUUAUUCUUACAUAGUUUAUAUCCACACUGAUGUGUAAGCAUUAUGGAAACAUUAUCUGUUUAAUUUUCUACCAGGGCAGGAACACAGUAGCACCAGAAUAUAAAUAUUUUUUGAACUCAUUACCCAAGGAAAUCAGGCAAACUUUCACACAAUGAAGGUGGUGUUAUAUAUGUUGGUUGUAUUUACAAGAUAGAAAUAUGGGAGGGACAUUUUAAAAUGAAGGACUAGUGGAUAAUAGUAGUACCUCUAUUUAGUUGACAUUUAAUUUUAAAUAAGAAUGAAUAAUGAAAUAUUGGGGCAACAGAUAUAUAGGCCAAAGAGUAUACAUUAUUGCUCUAUUUCUUUUGGUUUCUAUGGAAGCAAUAGUCACAGGAGGAAUGCCCUGGACUUAAGCAUAAUAUCAUUUCAAAGACUUUCUUAAUUUUUAUUUUACUCCAAAUAAUGACCAAGAUAAUCUUCUUCCAGGAGAACAAUAGAUAGUCCUUUUUAGUCAUUGAAGUAAGAAUAGCUAACAAAGUUUUAGAAGAGGUGUUUCUUAACCACUUGAACAUGUCAGAUGUCUCCAUUGUCAAGAUAAGCAUCAGCAGUGUGAUGCCUUACACAUGUACACUGCUAUGUAGUAUUCAAAGUGUGUUCACAUUAUUCCAACAGUCUGUUAAUGAGCAUCAUGGGUGUUAAGACUGGUUAAGGAGCAGCAUAGUGUGUGUGUGUGUGUGUGUGUGUGUGUGUGUGUGUGUGUGUGUGUGUUUUAGGGGAAAGUAUUGGAUAAAUGACUUCAUUAAUGAUAAAGAAAGAUAUGAAGGGAGUUCUGAGAUGCUGUUAGAAAGCAUAUGGACAAAGGCAUUUGGCUGACCUCAUCCUAGAGAAGGUUAAAAGGAUGCUUAGCCAGAAUUGCCUCUGAAGAUAUUUGCUUAGCAGGGCUAUCUGGCUGAGAUGAGAAAUAGAUAGGAAGUUCAUAUUAUUGUCUAUCAUAGUUGACAUUUUAUAAUGUUUAAGAAUUCUGACAGAACAUUUAUCACCUGAAUAAAUUAGAACAGAUGCAUUAUAUUGUGAGAUGUCUAAUCAGAAACUCCACAGAGGUUGGACAUGCAUGUGAAUACUUUAAAGAAAGUCUGGAGUAUGACAUGGGCCACUCUGGUGCACAGGGAAGAUUGAUGUCUAGGGAUAUUAAAAUUGAUUAUAAAAUGGUUGCAGAUAUGAGGUAGAUCCAUUUUAUUCAAUUAUUGAUAAUAAGUAUUAUAAUAGCUGAAUUUUGUUGAGCAUUUACUAUGUGUCAUACCCUAAGAACAUCAUAAAUAUUUCCUUAUGUAAUUCCACCAACAAACUUACCUGGUAAUACUAUUAGUUUCUCAGUCAAAGGAUACUGAGACUUAGAUUAAGCAAUUUACCCAAAAUCAUAAAUAAUGUUUUGUCACCAAACUGGAAUUCAAACAAAGAUCCGUGUAAGUGGAAAACCAGACUCUUAACUAGGACAUUAUUGAGCAUGAUGAUGGUCUAUGUGGUAGGCAGAAUAAUGCCACCUCCUCCCCAAGAUAUUCAUGUCCUAAUCUCCAGAUUGUGUUCUCACAGGUCUGAAGGCUAGAAGUCCAAGAUCAGUGUCAGCAGGUUUAAUUUUUCCAGAGGCUUCUCCUUGGCUUACAGACAAGCCAUCUUCUUGCGGUGUCUCUAUAUGGUCUUUACUUUGUGUGUUCACACAUCUAGUGUCUCUGUGUAUCCAAAUUUCUUCUUGUAAGGAUGCCGGUCAGUGGAUUAGGCCCAUCCUUAUGGGCUUCAUUUUAAAUUAAUCACUGCUUUAAAGCCCCUAUCUCCAAAUAGAGUCAUAUUCUGAGGUAGUAGGGAUUAGGGCCCCAACAUAUGAAUUUUGGGGGAAUAUAUUCCACAUAUGACUUGAACCUAUGACAAACUCUCAGUCAAGCACAGUAUAGUAGGAGGAUGUAACAUUCUCUUCCAGAUAAAGGAGAGGGACUUCCACAAACCUGAUUGGCAUGUUUAAAACGUGUUCUUGAAGUUGAAGAUGGACACGGGGCUUAUAGGUGACUCACGGCUCAGAAAACUACGUGACUUAUGCAGUUAAGGUAUAAAAAUUAUCUGGGAAAGGGAGGUAUGCUUAUCUUCUGUGAACUGCAAAUGGGCCACAUGGGAGAGAGAAACAGCAUGAGGUUUUUUGGUGUUCUAUUCAAGAAAGCACCUAGCAGAUAGAAGGACCCUAGCAGCAGAAGACUGGAGAUGAACUCUGAGAUUUCUAGGGGCUGUGAAAGAACUUGAAAACGGCUCUCUAGAAAUAGGCACUGCACUCUUCAGCCCAAAUCAAAGGAACUGAAGCAGAGAAAUCAGCAAUAGCAAUAUGCAAACAAAAGACAAACAAGACAAAAAUUAAAAAUACCUGUAGGAAAAAAGGUCAGUUGAAAAUCUAAGCCUAAAUAAUGCAAAACUACCAGAAGAUCUUUCUGCUGCCUUUCGACUCCUUAGUCACAGAGAAUCUGCAGCUGUUGGUAACUGGGGAAGGAGAAUUGCUAGAGAACUACCCUGAGUUCUAAACCUAUUUCCAGGACAGGUUUCUAGUCUGAAAAAGGCUAAAGUUAAUUUCAUGUUAAUUCAAGUUUUGAAUAUUGAUUAUUAUCUUGAACUCUCAUUCUAUGUUUUAAAUGUGUUACUUAAAGUGACAGCAGGACAAGUGUUCUGCUGAUAAAGAGCAGCUCCCCCACCCCCACCCCUGAUAAAGGCCUUUAUUUGUGGCAUUUGCCCUUUUCUAUGGUGUAAAUUCUCCCACCAUGGCCAAUUUCCAUCUCUCAAUAUGAGGUCACUGAAAACACAGUUGGAUAGAAACGCACAAUUGCACCCCCAAGCCUAUAAAAUGGCCCCAGAAGACCACUUGUAGGACUAUCGAAACAGAGCAGAGGCAGAUUUACUGAGACACACAUCAGGCUUCAGGGCCCUCAAUGCCACAAGCCCGGAAUCCACUCUAAUGUGGUCACAUGGUCAUUGUUUUUAGCAAACAUUGCAAAUUGUAUUUUAAUCACAAUCAGUACAGCUGUUUUUUUCCACUCUGACAUCCCAGUGUCACACUUGCCUUCCAAUCAUGGCUUUAAUGCUGUCUUCGAUGCUUUUAGGAUCCAGCUUCAGAGAGGUUGAGUUGGGGAUACUUUUACUUGAGUUCUGUGGAAUAUAUUUACAUUCUUAAUCACUUCCAUGAAUAGUGAAGGUAUUGCUGGUGUAGCAGUGGUCCCAGCAAUGCCCCUGCUACCCGGUGCAUGGACUCCUUGAGCACCACUACACAAAGGUGCAGAGCCACACAUCACGUUGUAACUUAAAUGUUUCCGUGCUGUUACUAGCACAAGAAGUAGUGACUAGUGCUGUGACUAGUGGAAGUAGAAGUAAGGUUUGUAAUAUACAGACUCAGAAAUUUGAUAAAACUUUUGACAUCUGGCGGCUCAUAUGUAAAGAAAACCUGAGAGUUUCCCCAAAUUCAAAAUGAUCUUAAAAAUUUAACAGGUGUGAAGCUGAAGAAACUUCCUAAAUAUUUUUUUUUUGUUAAAUCAUGAUAAAAACUGAUGUAUGUUUCUAUGAAAAACAAGUCACUACAAAAUUGUUGGAAUGUGAACGUAAUCAAAGAACACUGUUGAAAAUUUACCAAAAAAGCUAUUACAUGGGUGUUUCAGGCAGGUAAACAGUGUUUUCAUGAGAUGAAUACACUCAUGAAUACAGUGUUUACAUGAGAUGAAUAUUUUUAAAAGAUUUUUAAAAUUCCAGUUAAUAUAUAGUAUAAUAUUAAUUUCAGGUGUACAAUAUGGUGAUUCAAAACUUCCAUACAUCACCCAAUGGUGAUUACAAGUAUACUUUUUAAUCCCUAUCACCUAUUUGACCCAUCACCCCACCCACCUCCCUCCUGGUAAUCAUCAGUUUGUUCUCUAUAGAUAAAAGCCUGUUUCCGGGACUUUUUUCUCCUUUGCUUGCUUGUUUGUUUCUUAAAUACUACAUAUGAGUGAAAUCAUAUGGUAUUUGUCUUUCUCUGACUGACAUAUUUUGCUUAGCAUAAUACUCUCUAGCUCCACGAUGUCAUUGCAAAUAGUAAGAUUUCAUUCUUUUUAAUAGCUGUGUAAUAUUCCAUUAUUUAUAUCUACCACAUCUUCUUUAUUCAUUCAGCAAUCAAUGGACACUUGGGCUGUUUCAUUAAUUGGGCUAUUGUAGAUAACAUUACUAUAAACACCAAGGUACAUGUAUCUCUUUGAAUUUAUAUUUUUGUGUUCUUUGGGUAAAUACGUGGUAGUGCAAUUGCCGGAUCAUAGGGUAGUGCUACUUUUAAUUUGUGAGGAAACUCCAUAUUGCUUUCCAGAGUGGCUGCAUCAAUUUGCAUUCCCACCAACAGUGCAAGAGGGUUCCUAUUUUUCCACAUUCUCGCCAAUACCUGUUGUUUUUUGUGUUGUUGAUUUUAGCUAUUCAGACAGAUGUGAGGUGAUAUUUCAUUGUAGUUUUGACUUGUAUUCCCCUGAUAAGUGAUAUUGAACAUCUUUUCAUGCAUCUGUUGGCCAUCUGUAUGCCUUCUUUGGAAAAAUGUCUUCUGCCCAUUUUUCAAUUGGAUUAUUUGUUUUUUGAGUGUUGAGUUAUAUAAGUUUUUUAUAUAUUUUGGAUACUAACCCUUUACCAGAUAUGUCAUUUGCAAAUAUCUUCUCCCAUUCCAUAUGUUGCCUCUUAGUUUUAAUGAUUGUUUCCUCUGCUGUUCAGAAGCUUUUUAUUUUGAUGCUACUACUGAUAGUUUAUUUUUGCUUUUGUUUUCCCUAUCUCAGGGGAUGUAUCUAGAAGGAAGUUGCUAAAGUUGAUGUCAGAAAAGUUACUGCCUGUGUUCUCUUCUAGGAUUUAUAUGGUUUCAGGUCUCACAUUUGGGUCUUUAAUCCAUUUUGAAUUUGUUUUUGUCUAUGGUGUAACACAGUGGUACAGUUUCAUUAUUUUGCAUGUAGCUGUCCAAUUUCCCAACACCAUUUGUUGAAGAGAUUCUCAUUCCAGUGGAUAUUCUUUCCUAAUAUGUCAAAGAUUAGUUGACCAUAUAAUUACAGGUUAAUUUCUGAGUUUUCUCUUCUCUUCUAUUGAUCUAUGUGUCCAUUUUUGUUGCCAGUGUCAUACUGUUUUGAUUACUACAGCUUUGUAGUGUAUCUUGAAGUCUGGAAUUGUGAUGCCUCCAGCUUUGCAUUUCUUUUUCAAGAUUGCUUUGGCUAUUUAGGGUUCUUUUAUGAUUCCAUACAAAUUUUAGGAAUGUUUGUUCUAGCUCUAUGAAAAAUGCUGAUGGUAUUUUGAUAGAAAUUGUAUUACGUGUGUAGAUUGCUUUGGGUAGUAUAGAUAUUUUAACCAUGUUUGUUCUUCAAAUCCCUGAGCAUGGAAUGCCUUUCAAUUUCUUUGUGUCAUCUUCAAUUUAUUUCAUCAGUGUUUUAGUUUUCAGAGUAUAGAUCUUUUACCUCUUCAGCUAGGUUUAUUCCUAGAUAGCUUAUUGUUUUUGGUGCAAUUGUAAAUGGGAUCAGUUUCUUGAUUUCUCUUUCUGUUGUUCAUUAUUGAUGCACAGAUAUGCAACAGAUUUCUGUACGUUGAUUUUGUAUCCUGCCACUUUACUGAAUUCAUUUAGCAGUUCUGGCAGUUUUUUUUUUUUUUAAUGGAGUCUUUUGGAUUUUCUAUAUAUAGUAUCAUGUCAUCUGCACAUAGUGAAAUUUUUACUUCUUCCUUACCGAUUUGGAUACCUUUUACUCUUUUGUUGUUGCUGUUGCUGUUGUCUGAUUGUUGUGGCUAGGACUUCCAGUAGUAUGUUGAAUAAAAGUGGUGACAGUAGAUAUCCCUGUCCUGUGUCUAACUUAGGGGAAAAGCUGAGAGGGACAUUUGUGAUGUUUGUGGUAUUUGAACGCUUUAAAAAAUGUGUAAAUUCUUAUGAUUUAUUUUUUCUUCCUGGACAAAUAUUCAUUUCUAACAUCAUUUGUAUUUUUGUGUUUGUUUCUGUAAGGAAAUAAUUUCAAAAUAUGUAAGUUUUAGGCCCUAUAAAAUCUGCAUAUUCCACUGCCUAAGAGAAAAGAGGCAAAUCCUAAAGUCAUGGGACUUUCUAAUGUUUAACCCAGAGGCAGGGGAUGAUUAUCUCCACUAAUAAAUUUUAAAGGAACACUGGGAAACAAAAGUAAUUUGGUUUGAUUUUAUCACAAAUCAAUCUUGCUCAAUAUACUGUUAUUCUCACUUUGCUGCUAUUUUUCUCUGAGCUUCUUCUCUUGAAGGAUUUGGAUCAGUUCUCUUAGUCCUAGUAGAAUGGGGUUCUAGUUGAGGUAGAACUUGGCAUUCACUACAUUCUUCAUUCUUGAAAAACUGUAUCUAGCCCCUACUGAACCUGCCCACUGUGUUCUCUUUCACAGGCAUAUUCUAUGUAGUUUUUAACAAUUUUGGAAAAUGAAAGGCGCCUGGGUGGCUCAGGCAAUUAAGUGUUAGACUUCGGUUCGGCUCAUGAUCUCACUGUUUGUGAGUUCAAGCCCCACAUCAUGCUCUGUGCUGACAACUCAGUGCCUGGAAACUGCUUCGGAUUCUGUGUCUCCCUCUCUCUCUGCCCCUCACCUGCAUGUGGUCUGUCUGUCUCUCUUUCUCUCAAAAAUAAAUAAACAUCAAGGGGCGCCUGGGUGGCUCAGUCGGUUAAGCAUCCGACUUCGGCUCAGGUCGUGAUCUCCCGGUCUGUGAGUUCGAGCCCUGCGUCGGGCUCUGUGCUGACAGAUCAGAGCCUGGAGCCUGUUUCAGAUUCUGUGUCUCCCUCUCUCUGACCCUCCCCUGUUCAUGCUCUGUCUCUCUCUGUCUCAAAAAUAAAUAAACGUUAAAAAAAAUAAACAUUAAAAAAAUUUUUAAAAAUUUUUGGAAAAAUGAAACAGAAGUAUUGUCAUUUAAUAUAAAAUCCAGGCUACUUCUGGAAUCUAGCAGGUGACUUUUUUUUUUCUUUUGAGUCAUUUAUUUGUUACAGUCAAAUGGAAUUUCGAUGAUCAACAUGUAGUUUCAGUCAUAAAGAAAAGAAAUUGACUGUUUUGUCCCUUGAACAAAAAUCCACUCAUUGUGAUACAGAAACUUAGAAAAGCAGGAGUGGUGACCCAUUUUGUAGGGAAAGGGCAUGCAUUUGUAAGCCUUUAUAGUUCCAUCUGAAAGUUUAUGUCUUUUAAAAUGUAGACUUUUUGCUACAAAAUCGGAUGGGGAAAACAAGCUUAACAUCAGGUUAUUUUGUAUAUACCUUUGACCGUAUCAAUAGAAAUAAUAAAAAGGUUUUCUAUAUUUAAAAGGUACAUCAGAACUAUUAAGAGAAAUUGAGAGUGUGGAAUUCUCCCUACAAGAUGAAAAUCAGUCUGCAGAGUAUUUUUGAAGUCUUGUCUAAAACAUACCUUAUUUUGGACACAUAUAUUUAUAUAAUUCAUUAAUCUGAUCAAAAGGAGAAAAAGAAUUAGUCAUUAGAUGACUUAAAAUAUUUUAUUUUUUCCCAAGGCAAAUUUGCUGAUUUACUAUUAUCAAUGAUGCUAGAGAUUGCUGUUUUUUUUUAAUUUUUUUCAAUGUUUUCUUACUCUUGAGGGAAAGAGAGACAGAGUGUGAGUGGGGGAGGGGCAGAGAUGGAGACACAGAAUCCAAAGCAGGCUCCAGGCUCCGAGCUGUCAGCACAGAGCCCAACACGGGGCCUGAACUCACGAGCCAUGAGAUCAUGACCAGAACCAAAGUUGGAUAGACGCUUAACCAACUGAGCCAUCCAGGUGUCCCAAGAGAUUGCUCUUUGAAGAAGAAAUAAUGCAUGUUGUAAUAAUGAUACAUCAUACAAUCUAAAUUAUGUUAGAAAAGUACUCUGAUUUUGCAUAACUAACUAAAGUUUUAGGUCUAUAAGAGAGCAUUUAAAAAUUUUAAAUCUUCCUUUGUGAAACAUUUGUGCUCCUGAAAUUUGCUUGUAAGCCACAAUUAUUUACAAACAUAUUAGAGGAGUGGUUACGAGAACAUCCUUUGGAGCUGCUCCUGAAAUUUGUUUGCAAGCCACAAUUAUUUACAAACUAUUAGGGGAGUGGUUAGGAGAACAGCCUUUGGAGCUAACCAUAACCGGGUUGGAAUACUGAUCUGCUAUUACCUGGUAACAGCCUUUUCAACCUUCCUUUUAAACACUUAGAAAUUAGGACAAUGGUACCAUUUUCUGUCAUUUCAAGAUAAAAUGACAUAUAAAAUAUGUAAAAUAUUAGGAGGAACCAUCAUGUAGUAAGUACUAAUUACAUAAUAUCUAUUAUUACUCUUCCCACUUUGUUAUUCUCUUCUCAAUUAUUUUAAAAUAAUAUUUUAUAUGCAUUAUUGGGGAAAAUGCGUGAUUUAAUAUUACACGAAAGAAUAUGUGUUUCAAAGUACCCAUUAAAAAUUGAUAGUUUUAUAUAACUAACUUUAAAAAUCUGUGAAGAAAUUACUUCACAUCUCUCUUUAAAAACAAUAUUAUCUUUGAAUUCAAGUUCCUCAAUUCUCCCUAACAGUCUUCCUCAAGUUUUUAGUUGGUAGAUACUUGUCCUAAAUUGCCCUAAAUUACUAUUGUAAGAAAGUCUGUGUCUGUGGCAGACAAUUCAGGUCAAACUGAAAUCUUACUUGGAAAUGGUAAAGGUAACAUACUAAUGAACUUACAUCACAUCAAAUGUACAUGAUGAGCAAAGAAAAAAAAUUGUGAGGUUAUCUUUACAUUUGAUAUAAAGGUUAGUGGUAAGGCAAGAAGCUCCUUUUUUUCCCACACCACUCCUAUCCUGUGGCAUGUUGUGGAAGUUAAUGGGUUUUUAAGAUGUGAACUGGGCUUUCUGGACUGAAGGAAGAGGAGACAGAGGAAGAGCAGAGGGACAUAUUAAAAAUUCAGCAUUUUAAAUGGACAAAUGGAACUUCAUUUACUGUAAGAGAGAGUUGAGAUUCUGUUAAGUGAUCUGAAAGUAUCAGAUUCUCUCUAUGAUUUAGACAUUCUAUAUAAAUGAACCUUCUUUAUAUGCAAUGAACUAUUGAAAAAUAGAAAGUAAUUUUAAAUGUAAUUGUGAAAAUUGAUGCUUAAAUUAUCUUAUUUUGAAAAAACUAACUUAUCUUUAUUUUGCUUUUGAUAAUUACACAAAAUGUUUAAGGCUCAAAUUUAUAGCCAUUUUUACAACUUGUUUUUUUAAUGAAUACAUACUAUCUAUAUGAAAUUUGAUUUUCUUACAGAAAGAGUGAUCAACAAAAAAAUAUAGUAAAAAAUGUUUAAAACUUCACUUUUUAUACUCCGCUUUUCAGUUAUGAUUUUUCAUGGCUUUAAAUUUUGGUGAAUUUCAAUGAUUUCAUAUUAUUUUCUGCAUAGUUCUCCCUUCCUUUUCCAGUAGAAUUUGGUCACUUGCUAUAUGAGAAAAUAGAUGGAUAUGAAGAUUAUAUCUACAAGGUCACUUCACUGAUUAGAGAAGGUAAAACCCCAGGCAGUGUGUAUGGUUCAUUAGGCUACUCUCUUAACCAGACCACUGACAGACUGAAUGUCCAUAGUUUAUUUUCUGCACAGUUCAUAAAUUACUAAGUAUUUUUGCACCCACUUGAGUCUGGAUUUGCAUUCCAUGCUCUAAAUGAGAUGAUUACAGAAUGUUGAUCUGUCAGUGAAUAAUUACUAUUGAAAGGCUUCUGAGAUUUGAAAGGAUUUAGAAAAAAUGUCUUUAAAAUUAAGCUAAAUGUUUUCAGACCUUUAACAAACAUCAAUUCUCAAUUCUUGAGUAUCAGUAAGAUAAAGGUAAAUGCUAUCUACGAAAAAGGGGAGAUAACAUUAUAGAUACUCUGAUUUGGGAAGACGAAUCAUAUUUCAGAAGAAUUUGAGAAUUGUUUUCAAGGGAAUCCUUUAUUAUAUAUGUCUAAAGAAUCAGAAAUUUGUUUAAGUGGAAAACAUCAACUACGGGAACAGCCCUUUGUUUAAAAAUCAUAAUAAGAUUAUUAUAUUCUUCUGUUUCUCCUGGAUUUGCAAUUAAGGACCAUAGCUGAACACUGAAGGCACUAAGUACCCCAUAUGCUACUUUCAGAGAGGCUGUAACAGUUGGGACCGAAUACUUCUCCUUUUCCUUUAGGCCUUAAGAGUUAUCAGAAUUGGCCUAACAACCCUCAACAUCACUCCAAAACCAAAUCAAUAUGAAAGGACUCCCGGAGAGAUAGGAGCCUACAGCCUUUGAGGCAUGCAGAAUUAAAAGUGACAGAACAAGGAAGACGACCUCAAGAAACAUAUAUAUUUAACCAGCAAACAUGCUGACCUGCUCCUGUGUCAGUUAAACAGAGGAAAAGGACUAGAAAAGAGUUGGUGGAGUCAAGAGUGAAGGAGCCUACACUCCUCCUCACACAUGUCCUUUAAACUUGUGUAGAUGAGGACCUGAGUCAUAUAAAUGGAUGGAAUACGGUUGGGCUCUGUCUUCUCAAUAUUUGUCUCAGUAGGUAUCUCAAGGAUACCUACUGACUGAAGGAAUCCAGGCAGCAAGAAGUGGUGGAGUGGAGUUCUUCCACAUCAGGAAAGAAGUACCCUUUUCACACUCUCCGAAGAACCCGCACAUAUUCUAGUAAGAACUAGGAUUUGGAUGGCUUCCACACAUAGUCAUUUCCCUUUAGGGUGAAUGUCCUGAAGGGCACUGCCAGUUCCAAAAGUGACUUUCAUUUUGUGGUCUAAACUGACGCAAUGUCAGUAUGAAGCAGAGAAGCAGAAGUAUUAACAGAGACAUGUUUCAUAGAUGGCUCACUGGUCGUCACACCAAGAGCCCCAUUAUAGUAGUGGAUUACAGCUGAAAGAGCUACAGGGCAAAAUCUUUCUGAGAAGCAUUUAGAGAAAGCCCAAAUCAAAAGGGGAUACAAAAGUAAGGACAUUGGAAAGAUCUGAAGACUUUGGUACCUAUAGCUAGAGCAAACAUUAAACACAGCCCAGCUCCUAACUGAAUUAAUGUAACCCUUACAUAAGAGGUCUACUUAGCACAAUUUCCAUUACUGAGAACAAGUUGUCUGAUUUUCAAGAAAAAAAUUAUGAAGCACUGAUGUGUCUGGCUCCAGGUCAAAAUUCUAGGUAUGAUCUCUUGGGCCCAGCCACAGGCAAUUACAAGCUUUGCCUGGCAGGUUCAUUGGGUUAGAGAAGAAGAGGCAGCUAUCUCCACACCAGAAUGUGUGCACAGCCAGUGAAUUGUAUUUCUCUAAAAGGAGUUGCAGUCAGGCACUUAGAACACUCACUCACCCCCCGCAUUUCUAGCCUAAACACCUCUGUUUGGAGGCUUCUCUAUUGGGGUUUUCAUUGAUGCACUUCUCAGGUGCCUUCCCUAACACCUCCUUAUCACAAAAUCUUGGCUGAGGCGCUUUUUUCACCACUCUAAAUCAGUACUUUUCUGCUGGAAUCAAUACGUUCCCGUUACUGCUGCGCGUAUAGGUUCCGGGCUCCUUGGCAGUGAGAUGAUUCCUCCUACCUGAGCUACAUAUCAUCUUACCAUCACUCAAUGUUAUUCCAUGGGGAAAAUUGGAACACUGGGGAGGCAGAAUCUAUUUUUGCCUUUCGAUUACACUAUCACAGUAAGCGAAUAAAGCUUUACCAGUUGGAAAGCAUUGAAGUCAUAAAAAGUAUCUUCUCAGACCCCAUUGGAAUUGAACGAGAAAUCAACAACAGAAACAUAGCUGGAAAAUUUCCAAAGACUUGGACGCUAAACAAUACAUUUCUAGAUAAUGCACAAGUUAAGGGAGAUGUCUUAGAAAUUAAUAAAUGUUUUAGAUUAAAUGCAAAUUAAAAGACAAUCUAUCAAAAAUUGUAGGAAAUAGAAAAGGCAGGGCUUAGAGGAAAGUUUAUAGCAUUAAAUGUGUAUUUAUAGCAUUAAAUGUGUAUAUAAUGGGGUAAAAGAUCUAAAAAUCAAUAGCCUCAGUUUCUACAUCAGGAAACUAGAGUAACAAGAGUAGCUUACAUCUAUGUAAAGGAAGCAGGAAAAAAAAAGAGUAAAAAUCAAUGAAAAUAAAAGACUAAAAAUCAAUGAAAUUCAAAAUAGGAAAAUAAGUAGGAAAAAACAGGUGAAACCAAAGGCUAGUUUUUUGAAAAGAUAAAUAAAAUUUACAAACCUCUAACCAUGUAAACCAAGCAAAAAAGAAGAUACAAAUUAAUACAAUCAUAAACGAAUGAGAAGUAGUCACUACUGAUUUCAUGGACAUAAAAAGUAUUAUAUAGUAAUAUUACAAACAACUCUAUGCCCACCAAUUUAUAACUUAGAUGAACUGGAUCAAUUCCUUUAAAGGCACAAACUACUGAAACUCACAGAAGUAACAGAUAACUUGAAUAGCCCUAUAUCUUUAAUGAAUUGAGUCAAUUAUCAAUAAUUGCCCAAACAAGCAAACCACUAGGCCCAGAUAAUUUUACUGGGGAAGUCUACCAAACACUAAAGGAGAAUAUGAUACUAGUUAUCCAAAAUAUCUUCAGAAAAUAGAAGCAUAAGUAACACUUUAAACUUAUUCUUUGAGGUUAGCAUUACUCUUAUAACAAAAUCAAAUGAAGGUGUAAUAAGAAUGAAUAGCUAACAAACAAUAUCUCUAGUGAGCAUGCAUUAAAAAUUCAAAUCCUCCAGUGCAUAAAAAGACCAAGUGGGAUUUAUUCCAGGUACACAAAGCUGGAUCAACAUUAGAAAAUAAAUCAGCAGAGUCUACCAUAUUGAAAGGGUACAGAUGAAAAAUCAUAUGAUCAUAUUCAUUGAUGCAGAAGAAUUUGACAAAAUUGGCCAUUCAUUCAUAAUAAGGCUUUUAACAAACUAGGAAUAGAGAACUUCCUCAAAUAGAACUUCCUCAAACUUAUAGAGAAUGUCUACCAAAGAAUCUACAGUUAACAUUGCUCUUAAUUAUUGGGGAAAAUUGGACACAUUUCUUCUAAGAUCAGGAAUAAGGCAAGAGUGCCCUCUUUCACCAUGCCAAUUCAACAUUAUACUAGAAGUUCUAGCUAUUGCACUAAUGCAUGGAAGCCAACAGAAAGAAUUCCUAAUUGGAAUUUGGAAAGAAUUCCAAAGCUGGAAAAAUCUUAGCAACAAAAUAAUGUAGCAUCUUAUAAAAUAAAUAUUUUGAGUUCAAACUGAUAUAAAUAAAUGAUUAAAUGCAUGAAUAAAUGGAGGAGAAUAGAUAAAACUCCCUGUAGAUGAUUUUUUAAGAAUUAUGCAGAUAUUCCACUUUUUAAAAGUUUAAGCUUAAUUCUCACUUAAGAGUAGGUAACAACCUUCCAAAAAGUUUGCAAAAGGACAUGGUAAAAAGGGCAUUGUUAAGAGCAACUUCUCAGUGGAGAAACUUGAUUAACAUUACUAUGGCCAGGUGGUUAAAUGUACCAUCAACAUUAAUAACUAAUGUUAAAAAUAUGUACUCCUGGGGCACCUGGGUGGCUUAGUAGGUUAAGCAUCUGACUUCAGCUCAGGUAAUGGUCUCAUGGUUUGUGAGUUCGAGCCUCGUGUUGGGCUCUGUGCUGACAGCUCAGAGCCUGGAGCCUGCUUCAGAUUCUGUGUCUCCUUCUCUCUCUGUUCCUCCCCUGCUUGUGCUCUCUCUCUCUCUCUCUCUCUCUCAAAAAUAAAUAAAUAUUGAAAAGAAAAAUUUUAAAAAUAUAUACUCCUAAUAUGGUGACAAUGACACUUUACCUCUUUUGUCUUCCCCCUAAAACAUACAGCCACAUUUUAAACAUGAAAGAAAGAUCAGAUAGAUACCGAUUGAGAGACAUACUACAAAAUAACUAACCAGUCCUUUUCAAAACUUUAAAGGUCACCAAAAAUAAGACCCUCACAACCAAAAGGAACUUAAUUACACAUGGUUAAUAAAUGUAAUGUGGUUUCUGGGAUGAAAUCCUGGAAAAGAAAAAAGAACAUUAGGGAAAAACUAAGGAUUUAUGAACAAAUAAUAGCCUUUGGUCAAUCAAAAUAUAUCAAUAUUAGUUUCUUAACUGUGAUAAAAGUAUCACAAUAUAAGAUAUUAAUAAUAGUAGAAGCUGUGUGUACUAUCCGCACAAUUUUUCUGUAAAUCUCUAGCCGUUCUAAAAUUUUUAAAAUGUUUAUUUUUUAAAAGACAAAAUACAAAAAAGGUAAAGAAUAAAAUCAAUAAGAAGAUGAAAAAAAGAAAAAAUAAAAAAAGAUAUUGCAUGUCCCUUCCUUCUAGCAGCAUGACUUAGCAAGUGAUCACAUUAUUUCAGCUCACGUUUUAUUUUCUGAAAUUUUGUCAGCCUUACUGCAAGUUUAGGCUAUGAGCCUACUUGAAAAUUAGGAGUUCCUAUGCUAAAAGAAAGAAAACAAAAUAAAUAAAUGAAAAGGAGGAAAAUUGAUUUUGGAGAAAUCCCGAAUCUAUUCCACAAUCUUAUGAGAUUAUUUUUCAGUAGAAGAAAUUCAUGUAAGUUGAAAAAUUUACAAAGACCAGAAUUUUGGGAAAUAAGGGAAUGCUUAACAAAACUCAUGAAGAACAUUCUCAGUAAGUGAUAUAAUAUUUAAUUACUGAGGUUAAAAAUGAGGUAAUCAUUGUGACGUUUGAGAACAAUAAGUCAAGAUGAUAAGACAAGAUUUUUUAGAAUCCAAAUGGGAGUAAGAGAGAAUAGAUGAGCUCUGAGUAGCUCAUCACAAGGUAGUUGUGUAUUUCUGUGUGGCAAGGGUUAGGAGAAAAUAUGGAAAUCAGUGGACCAUAGAACCACAAUCAUUAGUGGCAAAGUCAAGCAGAGGUACCUGGAAAUUUUGGUAUUGACGAUAGACACUGUUCACCUCUUUGAACCUAACUAAAGCAAACUGAAUUGGGUAAAUGUGUAAAUGCUCUCAAUUAUAUUUAAAUUUAAUCUCUUAUCUUCCUUCAACUGUAAUGAUUCCUUUCCAUCACACACACAGACACACACACACACACAGAGCAUUCAGUUAAAUUUUGGGAGUCAUUGUGAUAAGAAUUUAGACUUAAAUCUAACCCAUGGUAAAGGUGGGUGACAGUUAAAGAGCAUAUUUAUUAGCUAGCACUUUGGUUAUGCAAAAUAGGCCAGGUAAGAACUGGCUUACAGAAUGACUUAAGAAGCCAAAUGAGGCAAGUGCGAUAUAAAUCAUGGCAGUAGGCUGGUACCAGGCACUGGUGAAUACCAAAAAUAAAGGCAGAGACACUGGAGAUAAUCACAUUUUUCUCAGGGAAAGUGGCAAGGUUCUAGUGGUUUAGAGUGUCAGGCAAAAGGCUGUAGAAUCUCAGUUCCUCCCACUUCUUACUCAACCAGAGUGGCUCUACUUUCUUUCUUAAUAUUGGGAUUGCCUGUAAGAUUUCUUGAUUUCUCUUUCUGCUGCUUCAUUAUUGGUGUAUAGAAAUGCAACAGUUUUCUGUAUGUUGAUUCUGUAUCCUGUAACUUUACUGAAUUCAUGUAUCAGUUCUCACAAUAUUUCAGUGGAGUCUUUUUUUUAAUGUUUAUUUAUUUAUUUUGAGAGAGGGAGAGAAUGCGAGCUGGAGAGGGGCAUAGAGAGGGAGACAGAGAAUCCCAAGCCAAAUCCACACUGCCAGCACAGAACCCGAUGUGGGGCUUGAUUUCAUAAACCCUGAGAUCAUGACAUGAGCUGAAAUCAAGAGUCAGAGAUAUAACUGACUGAGCCACCCGGGUGCCCCUUGGGUUUUCUACAUAGAGUAUUAUGUCAUCUGUGAAUAGUGAAAGUUUUACUUCUUCCUUGCUGAUUUGGAUGCUUUUUAUUUCUUUUUGCUGUCUGAUUGCUGAGGCUAAGACUUUCAGUACCAUGUUAAACAACAAUGGUGAGAGUGGACAUCCCUGUCUUGUUCCUUACCAUAGAGGAAAAGCUUUCAGUUUUUCCCCACUGAGGAUGAUAUAUGGCCUCUAUCCCUAUUUUGCUGAAGGUUUUUAACAAGAAUGGAUGCUGUACUUUUCAAAUGCCUUUUUAUGCAUCUAUUCAGAGUAUCAUAUGGUUCUUAUCCUUUCUUUUGUUAAUAUGUUGUAUCAUGACGAUUGAUUUAUGAACAUUGAACCACCCCUGCAGCCCAGGAAUAAAUCCUACUUGAUCAUAGUGAAUGAUUCUUUUAAUGUACUAAUGGAUUCUAUUUGCUAGUAUUUUGUUGAGAGUUUUUGCAUCCAUGUUCAUCAGGGAUAUUGGCCUGUAAUUCUCUUUUUCACUGAGAUCUUUGUCUGGUUUUGAAAUCAAGGCAAUGCUGUCCUCAUAGAAUGAGUUUGGAAGUUUUCCUUCCAUUUCAUUUUUUUUUUUUUGAAACAGUUUAAAAUGUUUUUGUAGAAUUCCCCUGGGAAGCCUCUGGCUGUGGACUUUGUUUUUGAGAGAUUUUUUAUUACUGAUUCAAUUCCUUUGCUAGUUUUUGGUCUGUUGAAGUUUUCUAUUUUUUCCUGUUUCAGUUUUAGUAGUUUAUAUGUUUCUAGGAAUUUAUCCAUUUCUUCUAAAUUUCCCAAUUUGUUUGGCAUAUAAUUUUUCAUAUUAUCUUAUAAUCGUUUGCAUUUCUGUGGUGUUGUUUAUGAUCUCUUCUCUCUCAUCCCUGAUUUAUUUAUUUGGGUCAAUUCUCUUUUCUUUUUGAUAAGUCUGGAUAGAGGAAUAUUAAUCAUAUUAAUUCUUUCAAAGAACCAGCUCCUUGUCUCAUUGAUCUGUUCUAUUGUGUGUUUUUUGUUUGUUUCUUUGUCUCUCUACCAUUUAUUUCUGGUCUAAUCUUAAUUACUUCCCUUCUUCUGUUGGCUUUAGGCUUCAUUUAUUGUUCUUUUUUUAACUUCUUUAGGUGUAAGAUUAGCUUGCUCAUUUUAGAUUUUUCUUGCUUCUUGACAUAGACCUGUGUUGCUAUAUACUUCCUUCUUAUAACCACUUUUGCUACAUCUCCAAAGUUUUGAACCUUCAUGUUUUUAUUCUCAUUUGUUUCCAUGCAUUUAAAAAAAUUUCUUCUUUAAUUUCCUGGUUGACCUAUUCACUCUUUAGUAACAUAUUCUUUAGCCUCUAUGUAUUUGUUGUCUUUCUAUUUUUUUUCUUGUGGUUGACUUCAUGUUUCAUGGCUUUAUGGUUGGAAAAUAUGUAUAGUAUGAUUUCAAUAUUUUUAUACUUGUUGAGGCCUGAUUUGGGACCUAAUAUGUGAUCUAUUCCAGAGAAUAUCCCAUGUGCACUUGAAAAGAAUGUGUAUUCUGCUGCUUUAGAAUGAAUGUUCUGAAUAUAUCUGUUGUUGUAAGUGGCGUGUUAAAGUCCCCUACUAUUAUUGUAUUUUAUCAGUGAGUUCCUUUAUGUUUGUUAGUUAUUGUUUUACAUAUUUGGGUAUUUAAAGUUAGGGACAUAAAUAUUUAUAAUUGUUAGGUCUUAUUGUUGGAUAGAUGCCUUUAUUAUGAUAUAAUGCACUUUUUUAUCCCUUGCUACAAUCCUUGGCUUAAAAUCUAGUUUGUCUGAUAUAAGAAUUGCUGUUACAGCUUUCUUUUGGCAUCCAUUUGCAUGGUAAAUGGCUCCCCUCACUUUCAAUCUACAGUGUCUUUAGGUCUAAAAUAAGUCCCUUGUAGGCAGAAUAUAGAUGAGUCUUGUUUCUUUUUCUUUCUUUCUUUCUUUCUUUCUUUCUUUCUUUCUUUCUUUCUUUCUUUCUUUCUUUCUUUCUUUCUUUCUUUCUUUCUUUGUUUUAAUCAAUUCUGACACUGUAUGUCUUUUUGAUUGGAGCAUUUAGUUCAUUUAUGUUCAGAGUAAUUAUUGAUAUAUAUGAAUUUAGUACCGUUUUAUUACUUGUUUUGUCAUUGAUUCUGGAGAUUUUUUCUGUUUCUUUCUAGUCUUUGUCACUUUUGGUCUUUCUUUCCCACUCAAAGAGUCUCCUUUAAUAUUUUUUGCAGGGCUGAUAUAGUGGUCACAAAAUCCUUUAGGUUUUGUUUGUAUGGGAAACUGUUUUUUUUCCUCCUUUUAUUUUGAAUAACAGCCUUGCUGGAUAGAAUAUUCUUGGCUGCAGAUUUUUCCCAUUCAGCGCAUUGAAUAUACUAUGCCACUUUUCUGGCCUGCCAAGUUUCUGUGGACAGGUGUUCUGCUAAACUUAUGUGUCUUCCUUUAGAAGUUUGGGACUUCUUUUUUCUUGCUGCUGUUAGGAGUUUUUCUUUAUUUUCAUAUUUUGCAAAUUUAACUAUGAUAUGUCAUGGUGUUGGCCUGAUUUUGAUUUUUGUUUUUUGUGGGUUUUUUUCAUUUUUUUUAACAUUUAUUGUUGAGAGACAGAGAGAGACAGAGCUGGAGCAGGAGAGGGGCAGAGAGAGAGGGAGACACAGAAUCAAAGCAGGCUUCCAUCUCUGUGCUGUCAGCACAGAACCGAAUGUGGGUUCUGUGAACUGCGAGAUCAUGACCUGAACCACGAGAUCCCAUGAACCCAUGAACCUCGAGAUCAUGACCUGAGCUGAAGUCCGAUGCUUAACCAACUGAGCCACCCAGGUGACCCAACCUGCUUUUGUUGAUUUUGAUGGGAGUUCUAUGUACCUCCUGGAUUUGGAUGUCUGUUUCUUUUCCCAGAUUAGGGAAGUUUUCAUUUAUAAUUUCCUUAAAUAAACCUUUGGCCCCCUUUUCUCCCCCUCUUCUUCUGAGACUCCUAUGUUACAAAUGUUAUUAUGCUUUAUGGAGUCACUGAGUUCCCCAAGUCUACAUUUGUGAUCUAAUAUUUUUCUUUUGAGCUUAAUUUCACCAUUAUUAUUUUCCAUAAUUUUAUCUUGUGUAUCAUUUAUUCAUUUUUCUACUUUUUCCUUCCUUGUGAUUAUUACAUCCAGUCACUUUCACAUCUUGGUUAUAGAAUUUUUUAUUUUGGCCUGACUACUUUUUAGGUAUUUUAUCUCUGUGGUAAGGGCCUCCCUCUUGUCUUCUAUGCUUUUCUCAAGCCCACCUAGUAUCCUUAUGAUUAUUGUUUUAAAUUCUGGACUAGGGAUAUUACUUAUAUCUGUUUUGAUUAGAACCCUGGCCAUGACCUUUUCUUAUUUUUUCUUCUGGGAUGAAUUCCUCUGUCUUGGCACAAAGUCUGGGUCUAGGUCUCUGUCUUUCUCUGUGUAUUAGGAAAGCCUGUUGUGUUUCCUGCUCCUGAGAGUACGGUUUUAUAAAGAAAAGGUCAUAUACUGUCCAGGGCCUGGUACUUCAGGAAGUGUCUCUGCUGUAUGCUGUGUAUUCUCUCCUGCUGUGUUUUGACUGCUCUCUCAGGUCAGUCUUCUGCAGAAUUUCUCCUUGCCUGCCCUGGGGAGUGUCUGGCCCUUGGCUAGAGUAUGGUGAGUUUUCACUAGUUGUACCCUGGUAUACUUGUUUAAAAAAAACCUGAUGCGGGGCGCCUGGGUGGCGCAGUCAGUUAAGCGUCCGACUUCAGCCAGGUCACGAUCUCGCGGUCCGUGAGUUCGAGCCCCGCGUCAGGCUCUGGGCUGAUGGCUCAGAGCCUGGAGCCUGUUUCCGAUUCUGUGUCUCCCUCUCUCUCUGCCCCUCCCCCGUUCAUGCUCUGUCUCUCUCUGUCCCAAAAAUAAAUAAACGUUGAAAAAAAAAUUAAAAAAACAAACAAACAAAAAAACCUGAUGCUAUUUCCACCAGAGCUGAAGCUUUAUAGAACUUUAUGGUCAGUAGGCGAGGUGUGUGCAGGGGUUUGUGCUGGUCUUCUUGGGGAGGGACUUGCCACACUGGUUCUGGGACUUGCCGCUCUGGUUCUGAAACUCACUCUUUUCAAAAAAGCAGUAUCUGCAGAGCACAGAGUGGUGGGGUUUGAUUUAAGCAGUUCAGGCCACGAGUGUUGGCACUGUGCUAUUUACUAAAGUUAGUUUACGCUGAUAGUUGGGGGAGCUAAAAGUUGCCCGCUAGCUCUUUUGUCCCCAGAGAGGCAAUGCCACCUUUUCCAGAUGCACUCCAAGAAGGAGGAACUGUCUCUCCCAGUGCAUCUCAGGGGAUCCUCAGUCGUGCCAUCCCUUUUUGGGUGAUUAUUGCCAUCCUUCUCCGCAGGAGCACUGCAGCGCCCACAAGGCUCCAUGCCAGCUAUGCCAUCGACAUCUAAAACUUCCAUUGUUGAGCCCAACUGGUUGUAAAAACUCACAAAUAAGCCCUUCUUAUUUUCCCCGUCAAUGGCUUUGGGGAAGUGUUUUCCUUGUGCAAUCCCCCCUUGUGCUCCUCUCCCUCUCUCUCUCUCUCACUCUUUCUCUGUCUCUCUUCUGCCUCUCUCUGUCACCAGGGCUCCCUCCACUGCACCCAUGAUACUUUUCUUCCCCAAAUCAUAUCUCUUCACCUCCUACCUUCCACGAUGUGGCCUCUUCUCUCCCUCUAGUUGUGCAGUUUGUGCUCUCAGUUCUUAGAUCAAUUUCUUGGGUAUUCAGAAAGAUUUGAUAUUUAUCUAGCUGUGUUCACAGGAUGAGGCAAGUCUAGGGUCCUCCUACUAUUCCCCAAAUUUGAUUUUGUAUUAAUGUGAAUGUGCCAACUAAAUAAGAUGUAUCCAAAUAGUAACCAUGGCACUGAAUCCUCAUUAUAGAAAAUACAGCCUAUGGAGAGUACAUUAGAUCAAGAACAAAAGCAUGAUUUGAGGAAGGUACCUUAUUGAAACGUUUAUACAGACUCAAGCUGCACUGGAAGGAAAGUGAUGGUAAACAUGUUAUCGUAGGGCAUCAUGAUGAGAAGGAAAAGGGUCAAGAUGCCGACUGCUUGAUCUGACACUUACAAAUACAGAUUGCUGAAGGUUGAGGCCAAAAGGGCCAAUGAAAGACCAGGCAGAAGAGACAGAAGCGGUGGUCUGGCCUAGGAAGUUUGAACAACUUGUUGUCAAAGUGGUGCUUGGAUUCAGACAUGGAAUAUGAGCUCUGAUAUAUAGAAUCACAAGUCAGAGAAAGGCUAUGGAUCAAAAUCAGGCUAUUAGAGAAAAAAGAAGAGGAAAAUUGUCAUUAUUGCAUCAGGGACCAUUUAGGCCAAAAUAUCAACAGGAUUAUAACUAGAAAGACAGGUAAAUAGGUCAAUAGGGAAGAAUUUUAAGUGCUAGAGUAAAGUAUCACUAUGAUUUGUCUUUUGUUGUCCUCCAUUUCAUAGGUCAGAGGGCCAAGAAGAACUACCUAUAGUUCAAAUCAUGCAACAAAAUUAUUACUUGGAGACGAUAUUAUCAACCAAUCAGCCGAAGGCAGACAUACUAGUAAUGCAUUCUCUGGCUCUGCAUUACUCAGUUGGCUAUGUUAAACUCACACUAUGACCACAGGCCUUCAGCUACCCAUUAUCUUGGUAGAACAGAAUGGCAGCAAACCAUGCAGAAAUAUUUCAGGAAUCUUCAAUAUAAAGUGUGGCUUGUGAGGAUAUAGUUAAAGUAGAGGCACUGGCCAGGAGUUGAAGAGACAGCUGUUUCAGGUCUGUUGUUUCACAAAUAUAGUUUUCUUUGAUCUUGGAUAAGUAUAAAAUUAUGCCCCCUUGCAUAAUAUUCCAUUCCAAGUAGGAAUGCUACUUUCUCCUACUUCCAUAAGUUUAUUAUGUAGAGCAGAAUAACAUCUAUAAAAUAAAAUUGGGCUCUUUGGACAAAUAAUCACUAUGCAAAUGUAUGUUGUAAUAGCUAUAAUAUAAUUGCUAUUAUUGGAAACUGCAUAGAAUUCAGUGAGAUUAUAAGGAGUGCUCUUUUAUUGGUAGUAGCAGUCUAUGUACUAUUUUAAUAUUUUGGGUGGCUUUGAAUUUUAGUUUAAAUUUUUCUAGGAAUGAUUGAGGGAAUUGACUCUAACUUACUUCUGUUGAGCCAAAAAUACAUCUGGCACAUUAUUAAUAGAUAACAUCAAAUAUCAUCAUUUUGGGGUGUCAAUGCAUUAAAAUAUACAAUUUCCUUUCAGCUUCUGUCCUUGUAUGUACCAUUUGAUAAAAAUUGGGUAUUUCGUGACUCCUUUUAGUCCCAAUUUCAUAAUUUGCACUUUAUGACCAGAGAGGUUGAACAUGCCUGAAGUAAGUCUGUUUGAUGGUGGUUUUCAAUAUGAGUCCCGAUGCAUUCAUACUCAGGAUGAGUGCUACAUAGCUGCAGACCUGUCUGUGGGAAUGUGGCUGUUUAAUUACCAAUUCAUCUGUACUCUCUGACUAGAUGUAAUGACAGUAAUUCUCUAAGUCCAGUGUCUUUCAACGUUCUUUUUAAAUAUAUUUACUUAUAAUUUUCUUUAUAUAUAUUUAUAGUGUAUAUAUGCAUGCAUUUAUAUAUACAUAUAUGUAUAUAUGUACAUAAAUAUGUAUAUAAGUACAUGCAUGGGUAUGUGUAUAGAGGAGACUAAGGAUGCUGUACUGAUCAAUAAAAUGUAAUACGAUAUUAUCUAUUCUGGUUUUUUUACUUUAAUUUUUAAAUUUUUACUUAUUUUUGAGAGAGAGAGAGAUAGAGUGUGAGUGGGGGAGGGACAGAGUGAUAUGGAGACACAGAAUCCAAAGCAGGCUCCAGGCUCCGAGCUGUCAGCACAGAGCCCCACGCGCAGCUCGAACUCACAAACUGUGAGAGUAUGACCUGAGCUGAAGUCAGACGCUCAACUGACUGAGCCAUUCAGGCGCCCCAUCUAUUCUAAGUGGUUUUAAUUUUUGAUAAUUUGGAUUUUAAAAGUUACUUUUUUUUUAAUAGGUAACAAAAUAAAGAAUCAUGAUUAACUAGACUGGAGAAAAUAAAUUCUAUAACAUAUAAAAGUUAUUUGUGGGGCACAUGGAUGGCUCAGUUGGUGAGGCGACCCACUUCGGCUCAGGUCAUGAUUUUGCAGUUUGUGAGUUUGAGCCCCACCUCAGGCUCUCCACUGAUAGCUCAGAGCCUGGAGCCUGCUUCAAAUUCUAUGUUUCCCCCUCUUUCUACCCCUCCCCUGCUCAUGCUCUGUGUCUCUCUGUCUCUCAAUAAUAAAUAAACGUUAAAAAAUUAAAAGUUAUUUGUUAUAUCUUUAAAAGAUAUUUGAAUUUACAAGUUACGAUACGUUAGAUAAUUCUCCUAUGCUUUCCCCCCCAGCUUUAUUGAGGUAUAGUUAACAAUGUAAGUUGUAAGAUACUUAAAGUGUACAACAUGAUGAUUUGAUGUAUGUAUGCAUCAUGAAAGGAUUCUCAUCAUCAAAAUAAUUAACACAUCCAUCACUUCACUUAUUUACUUUUUUUUAUGAGGCCACUUAAGUUCUACUCUCUGAGAAAAUUUCAGUGAUAGAAUACGGUGUUAUGAACUGUAAUCACUAUAUUUUACAUUAUAGCUUCAGACCUUAUUCAUCUUGUAACUGAAAGUUGGUACCCUUUUGCCAAACUUUUCCUAUUUCCCCCACUGCCUAGUUCCUGACAAUCACUUUUUGACUUUCUUUUUCUAUGAGCUUGACAUUUCUUUUUCUUUUUUGGAUUCUAUUUAUAAGUGAUACCAUGUAGUAUUUACAGUAUUUUCCUUUCUCUGUCUGGGUUAUUUUAUUUAGCAUAAUACCCUUGUGUUUAUCCAUGUUGUUGCAAAUGACAGGUUUUCCUUCUUUUCAAAGGUGGAAUAAUAUUCCAUUGUGUGUGUGUAUGCGUAUAUAUAUAUAUACAUAUAUAUAUAUAUAUAUAUAUAUAUAUAUAUAUAUAUAAAGGAGCUUUAUAUACAUAUAUAUACACAAUAUAUAUGUAUAUAUGUACAUAUAUAUGUGUAUACAUAAAGGACCUUUCUUAAAAACACAAAGCAAAACAAUGAAUUUACUUCAACUCUACAGAAAAGUCCUUAAUAAGCUUUAAAAUAACAGAUUUUUAAAGAGAAAAGAAAUAUAUAAUAAUUUAUGAAUGCAACCUAUGCAUGUGUAAUCAUACUUGGCACUUUUGGACUCUGUCUUACAACUUGUAGUUUUACUUCUUUAAGUUAUUUUUGGGUAAUAGAAAAAUGUUCCCCUAUCAUCUCUAUAUUAUAUAUUUUUAUGGAAAAUGUAAAAAAAUAAUUUUUAUAUUUGAAUAAAGGAAAAUUUACAUCAUAAGGUAAAAAUGCAAAAUAAUGCCAUAUUGUAUCUUCCUUACAAAAUAAAGUCAAAUGUCUGAAAGGAAAAAUGCAGAGAAAAUAUAUAACAUGAAAAAAUAGUUGCAUCUUAGUGCACUAUCACUUUUUCUCAUAUUAAUCAUUUGGUUACUUCCCAGUUCUUCUGUAGCAAUAAACCAUGACUUAGCUUGAAUUAAUAUAGAAUAAACAGUAUGUAUUUGAAGCUAUACACUACCUUCCACUUUUUUUUUAGCAAUACUUUACUGUAUAGAAUAACCUUUUAUUUUAUGUAUUACAGUAAGAUGGCACAUGUUGUUACAAAAGUAUAAAUGGACUGGGGGAAGAUAUUUACAAGCAGGCUAAAAGUAGACUACCCAGUUAACCAACAGAAUUAUUGGCCACCAACAAUUCUUUCAAACUCCUUCAUGAAGAUACAAAGGUAUUUUCCCUCUCUUGAAUCCUUACUGGCUCUCUGACUUGUUUUAACUAAGAGGAUGAGGAAGAAGUUAUGUUGUGUGAGUUCUAGAGCUUGGCAACUUCCAUUGCAUUCUCUUGGGAUCCAGCCAAAAGUACAAAAGCUAGGAUACAAUUGAUUACUGAGUGGUAAGAAACAGCCCCAGCUAGCCCCCAGGCAUUCCAGAUACCACAGUGGAGGUGCCAUGAGUGUGAAUACAAUCAUCUUGAAUGUGCUGUCCCAGCCAUGCCUCUAGUCAAAGACAACCAAAUAAGUGAAACAUGUGUAUCCUCAGCCAACAUUACAUGCCACAGAGAAAACUCCAACUAGGUCAGCCAACAUUCAAAAUUAUAAGAAAUAAUGAAAAAUAAUAAAUCAUUACUGUUUUAAGCCAAUAGAUUUUGGAUUAGUUUGUUACAGGGAAUUCUAUAACUGAAACAUGGGUUCUUUGAGAAUAUACAUUAUUUUCAAUAUAAGACAUAUGAACAAAUAAUUUUGCUGCAAGGAAAAAGGACCAAUUACUCCAUCUUCAUUCUCAUGAGUUAGAAAUAAAGAUAAUUUAAAUAUAUGAGAAAUUAAGAUGAUUACUAAUAUUUGUUAGAAUACUUUCAGCUACAAGUACAAAAUUCUUUACCUAUAUUCGCUUAAAAAAAAACAAAGACAUUAAUAAGGCUACUUGAUAAGAAGUCUAGACAUAAAGAGCAUGAGAUUCUUGAUCUCAGGGUUGUGAGGUCAAACUCCAUGUUGGUUACAGAGAUUACUGAAAAAAUAAAUUAAUUAAAAAAAAAACAUUAUUGGUAUAAUCGCUUCACAGUAUCUUGAAAUAACUAGACUCUUUUCAUACUUCUAUGUUUCAUUGUCAGCAGGUUGCUUUUUGUGUCAUGGAUGUAAGAUGACUGGCCUCAGUUUUAGAUGUUGUAUUUAUGUCAAGGCAAGAAAGGUGCUGUCAUGUGUAUGCUUCUUUUUGAAUAGAAAAUAAGUUUUUCUAGAAGCGAUUUCAAUAAAUUGUAGUCACGUGCUAUAUUCCAUUCACCAGAAAGGUUUUACAGGGCCAUAACUGGCUGCAGUGGGACACUGGAAAAUUCACAUCUGGCAAAUGAAUACAAAAUUAUCAUGACAGCCUAGACUGGUUUUGCUUGCUCAACAUGUGUAAGGACACCAAUGUCACUCUGAACAAAAGUGGAUUCUACUAACAAGAAAAAAAGCCUGAUAAAUAAGCAACCAAAAAAAAUUUGGUAAAUGAAGGAAUUCAUUCAUACUAGUACCUUACUAUUUUGAGUUUGGGAAGAUGUUUUGGUUUUCUUUUUAAAUCCAUGACGGCUGUUGCUUACAAAACACUGGCAAGAGUAACUACAAGCUUUUCAAAUCCAUGAAAGGAAAUUUCUUCCUAUUACUAUUUUUGUGAGAAGUACUUUUUUUUAAAAAAAGUAAAUGAUAUUGACAUUUAUUGAAUUCUUUUCAUUACUUAUUAAUAUUAUAUUUAUGAAAGGUAUUAAUUGAUUUUUUUUAAUGAGAAACUAAUUUUGCAUUCCUUGGGUGUAUCCAACUCUGUCAUGAUAUAUUAUCUCUUUUACAUUUAAAAAUAUUUGUUUUAUAAAUAUUUUGUUUAUUAACUUUAUGUCCAUGUUUAUGAAUGAAAUAGGCCUCUUAUUUUCUGAUGCUUUAGUGUUCUUUUCUGAUUUGGGGACUCAGGUUAUUCUAACAUCAUAAAAUAAUUUGAAGAGUAUUCUUAUUUUUCUUCCCCAGAAAUUCUUAUAUAUGAUUAGAUUUAUUUGUUCCUUUAAUGUCGUCACUGGUUCACACUGAGCAAAGGUAACUACAACCACAGUCAAACUAUAGAAUAAUUUCAUCACCACCAAGCUACUACUUUUUUAAUGUUUAUUUAUUUUUGAGAGACAGAGUGCAAAAGGGCAAAGAGAGAGGGAGACACAGAAUCUGAAGCAGGCUACAGGCGCUGAGUUGUCAGCACAGAGCCCAAUCUGGGGCUUACACCCACAAGCUGCGAGAUCAUGACCCCAGCUGAAGUCGGACAGGAAACCGACUGAGCUACCCAAGCGUCCCACUAAGCGUCCCACCAAGACAAUAGCCAAUUGUCUAUCAUCCCACCUGCAACCCCUGGCAACUGAUAAUCUGGUUUCUGUUCUAAUACUUUUACUUCUUUUUCAGAAUAUACAGAAUUACACCUAGAAUAUAAGAAACAUCCCCCCCUCUUACUCCGCCUCUUUUUAGGAUAAGAUUUUCUCCAGUGUUUUUAAGUAUUCACUCAUAAAAUCUAUGUUUGUGUGGUUGGUAGCCUCUAACACAGUGAUCUCCCCCCCUGCUAUGAUGCUCUUGUGCAAUAUGCCCCCCUUGAAUAUAGGCUGGAUUUAUUGACUCACUUCUAAUAUGUAAUGGGAUUUCACUUUCAAGAUUAAGUUAGAAAAAGAUUGUGGUUUCCAUUUCGGUGCUCUCUCUAGAUCUCUCUCAGAUUGUUCUCUGGGGAAGCCAGCUGCCAUGAACUGAUGCAUCUAUGUGGAAAACACUGCAUGAGUGAGCUUAGAAGCAGAUCUUCUGAGACCUGCCAAGAGCCAUAGGAGUGAGGUUGGAGAGGGAUCUUCCCCAGUUGAGACUUGAGGUGAUUACAGACACCUAGAUCACAGACUUGGAAGAGACUGUGAAACAGAAAAAUUCAGCUGAGACACUCCUGGAUUCCUGACAGAGAGAAACAAUGAGAAAACAAAUAUUUGGGUUUUUUAGCUGCUAAGUUUUAGGGUAUAAUUAGUUUCCUAUGGCUGCUAUAACAAAUUACCACAAACUAGGUAGUUUAAUGUGAUUUUUGUAGAGUUCUGGAGUCUUAGAAAUCUGAAAACAAUUUCACUGUGUUGAACUGAAGGUAUCAACCAUUCCUUUGGAGGCUUUGGGGGAGAAUCUGUUUGUUGCCUCUUCUAGUUUCUGGUGGCUAUGGCAUUCAUUGGUUUGUAACUGUAUAUACUCCAAUCUCUGCCUUUGUAUUCACAUUGCCUUACUCCUCUGUGUAAUUUCCCUGUGCCUCUCUCUUAUAAGGACACAUUUGAUUGGGUUUAGGACCCACCUGAUAGUCCAGAUAAUUUCCUCAUAUCAAAAUUCUUAACUUAAUUACAUCUGGAAAAAAAAACAUUACAUAAAGUAACAUUCAUGGAUUCUAUUGAUUAAGGUUUGAUUUCUUUAGGUCCACUACCUAAGGUAAUUUGUAAUGUAAUAAUAGGUAACUAAUACACUGAUCUUUGCAGAUUUGAAUCUUCACAGGUUUAGAAUUAGCUCUUACUGCUUGAUGUCUAGCAACAAUUGACUUUUCUGAAUUUUCUCUGCCAGUUUUUUUUUAAUUAUUUUUUUUAUUUUGGCCAAAAAAUGGAGAACGUUUACUUGAAGUCAUAUCUGUCUUGUGAUAUCACCAAAAUCAGAAUCUGAUAUACAUUAUUACACUGAUUCUUUCCAACCCAUUUACUUGAAGUAUCUGGCUCAGAAGACACAUGGUCUGCCUCUCAAAUUAUUAUAGGUCACAUGUCUCCAAAUGUUUUGCUAACCAUUCCAUGUAUUCCCAUCUCUUUAAUAUUCAAUAAGAAAUUCACCAUCACUGAAUGCUGAAUUACUAAGAUAAUUUGUAUUUUAGGUUUCUUCUACCAUAGUAUACCGUUUCUGAUACCAAGUUCUGUAUUAGAUAGAAUAACAUUAGCUUUAUAAGAGAUAAACUCUAAAAUCUGUGUGAGUUAAUAAAAUAUAAAUUAAUUUCUCCUUUAUGGGAAGCCUCCAACAUACAUGGUCUCGAUUAGAAAGAAGCUCUUCUCUAAGCAGUGUUUCAAAAUUCCAUUCAAAUCAUGGCUAUUGUAUCUUUGCAAAGGGCUUCUGUAUCUCUGCACAGCAUCAUGAAGGUGGUAUUGGAAUAAGCAUGGAGAAUUAUUUGUGGGACAUGUUUAUAGUACUAGCUUGGAAGAAACAUACAUCAUUUCUGCUCACAUUUCACUGAAUAAAAUAGCAUCUGUGGCAAUUUACACUGCAUGCACUUUCUUUCGUUAACUGGAAUUAAGUUUGAGAAAUGUAAUCCAGCUGUUUUCUCAAAAGAUGAUAUGGGUUUGAUGAUCACCUAAGAAUCUCUACAACACUGUUGAUAUCCUUUUUUUGAAAUUUGGUAUAACUUGCUUGGUGGCUUUGACUGUAGUCGAUUUUCAUGAAAACUUCCAUGUAUGCAUGAAGAGAUUGCAUUGAUGACAGUAUUUGUGUGUUUCUUUGAUCAUUCUUGUUAAUUAUGUUGUUUUAACUGCCAUGUCUUCAUUAAUUUUUUUUCUCUUAUCUAUAAUUUGGUGGCCAAAUGUGUGAAAAAUCUCCUAUAAUUAUUCUAGUUUUAUGAAUUUCUCUUAUUAGUAUUUUCAGGUUUAUUAUGUAUUUGAAACUAUUUUAUUACGUGCUUACAAGUUUAAAAAUUUUAACUCCAUCCUUACGAAUUAAACAUUUUAUUAACAAAAAUAUCCACCUUUAGUAAAUUUUUGCCCUAACUGCUACCUUUUUCUGAUAUUAAUAUACCUACAAUAAUUUUCUACUGGUUUAUAUUUACCUGGUAUAUAUUUUUCUUUACUUUGUCUUAUGAUAAUUUUACAUUCUUAUAUGCUCACUACAUAUAGCUAGGUCUUUUUAAAACACACUUGGGUAAUCUUUAUCUUUUUGGUAGAAAAAAAUAUUUUUUUACAUUUAAUAUUAUCACCAAUAGAUUUAGAUUUAUGGCAAUUACUCAUCUUAUUUUGCCCAUUUUAUUUGUUGCAUAUUAUACUGGUGUUUUUUCUCCUUCAUUGAGUUUGUUGCCCCUUCCACUCACUCUUUUUCAUAUAUCUCCUAGUUUGAAAAUUAUAUAUGCUAGUGUUUUCCUUUUAUUAGUCUUCCUAGAAUUCACUAGAACUAUUUUAGCUUAUCAAAGCUCAAUAUUACUUUACUCUUCUACUAAACAAGGACUUUAAAAUGUCCUAACUGUAAUUAUCUCUUUCCCAGAUCAUAUUGCUAUGAUUUCAGUUUUAUAUCUUGAUUUUCUUAACAGUAUAAUAAAAUAUUUUUAUUGUUUUAUAUAAUUUAAUAUUUAUAUAUAAUUUUACUGUUAUUUUUGCACAUAAUUCCUUCUUAAAUCAUAUUUUUAGAACUGGCUAUCUAAUACAUAUCUAUUAGAUACAUAUGGCUAUUUAAAUUUAAGUCAAUUAAAAUUUAAAUUUAAAAUUCUCUUUCUCAGUCACAGUAGUGACAUCUCAAGAGCUCAAAGUCACAUGUAGCUUGUGCUUACUAUAUUGAGCAGGACCGUUGUAGAAUAUUUCCAUCAUUGAAGAAAAUUCCAUUAAAUAGCACUCCUUGGGGCGCCUGGGUGGCUUGGUCGGUUAAGCGUCCGACUUCGGCUCAGGUCAUGAUCUCACGGUCUGUGAGUUCGAGCCCCGCGUCGGGCUCUGUGCUGACAGCUCAGAGCCUGGAGCCUGUUUCGGAUUCUGUGUCUCCCUCUCUCUCUGCCCCUCCCCUGUUCAUGCUCUGUCUCUCUCUGUCUCAAAAAUAAAUAAACGUUUAAAAAAAAUAGCACUGCUUUAUAUAUUAUUUUAGUGACAUAUUUUUUUAAAUAGUGAAUACAAACUUUUGUUAUUUUGAAAAUGUUUUUACUUUGGACUCUUUCAUGAAAGACAAUUUAACGGAUCUAAGUUCUAAUUCAAUGGUAUUUUCUCUAAUCACUAUGAAUAUAUUAUCCACUGUAUUUGUAUUUCCAUUAUGAUACUUAGAAGGCAGCUGUUGGACUAAUGGUCAUUCAGUUGUAGGUAAUCCAUCUGAUCUCUAACUGCUUAUAAAAUUUUCUCUUUCUCUUUGGUGUUCUGCCAUUUCACAUACUCGGUCUUGAAGGACAUUUUUUACUUGUUUUUCUUGUACUUUGUAUAGCUACCUGAAUCUGUGAUUUUAUCUUUUCUCAAUUUUAGAAAACUAUUAGCUAUUACUCUUUGAUAAUUGUCUCAUUCCAGUUUUCUCUUUUAUAAUGAUAGAAAUUUAAUUUUCCACCUGUUUUUCUUGGUUUACUCUCUUAAUUUUUACUUUCUAUUUAUUUCUCUAGAUCUUUUUAUGCCUUACUUCAUAUAAUUUCUUUAUGUAUACAUUACUCAUCUCACUAAGUCCCUGUUUAUUUAAGCCCAGUUUGCAGUUUGAUCUAUUGUUGUUUUUUCUUUUUUAAAUUUCAAUUAUUGUAUUUUUAAUUUCUAAAAAUUAGAUUUUGUUUUCCAAAAUAAGCUUGGUCAAUUAUUUUCUAUUUAAAUGUUCCAUUUAUUUUCAAAGAAUGUCUUUAACUAUGUAAAAUACAUUUAUUUAAUACCAUAUUGCUUACAAUUUCAAUAUAUGAGAUCUCCAAGGACUUAUUUUGCAUGGAUGUUUUUCUGCUGAAGUUUAUGAUGGUGGAUUUCAUUUGUUUGUUUGUUUGUUUGUUUACAUAUUAUUUAUUUUUGAUAGACAGAAACAGAGCUUGAGUGGGGGAGGAGCAGAGAGAGAAGGAGACACAGAAUCCGAAGCUGACUCCAGGCUCUGAGCUGUCAGCACAGAGGCCAAUGCAGCGCUCAAACUCACUAACCAUGAGAUCAUGAUCUAAGCUGAAGUCAGACCCUUAACCAACUGAGCCACCCAGGCACCCGUGUUGAUUUUUUUUUUUAAUGGUAACUCUUAUUCCUCUGACCUCUAUUUGUUUGAAUUAUUUGAGGAUUCUAUUGAAGUACACUGUUCUAGAAAUAAUUUCUGCUUGCUUCAAUCAGUUGCCUAAAAAUGUCACCAACUUAUUACCAUUUAACCUUUUGACUUGAAGUUUUUGCACACAUUCAGGUAGAAAUUCUGGCUUCAAAACUGCAGGAUUUAAUAGAUAAAUAGUUAUGAUUCUGAGAAUCUUCUGAUAUCUGGUAAAUUUUGCCUUUUGUUCUCAUUUUUCCUUAUGCAAUUAUGUGUUAAAUUAUGUCCAAGUUUUAUGUGGGUGGAAAGUUAUCCUCCUCUUGGUCUCUGUGAUUUGCUACCAGUCUCUUUGCCAAAAGGCUUAUGAAAGUCCCUGGUGUCUCCAGACUGCCAGGGUUAAGCAGAUGUCCUCAAUGAUAAUGAAUUUCUAGAGCUCACUAACUCAUUGGGUACUCACUUUCCAGCAUUUACUGGGAAUAGGUUGUUUCCUUUGAUCCAUCACUAUCUCAGCUAGCUGGUCCCUAUAAAAAAGUUAGUGUGCUGAUAUCCUUUGCCAUUUUAUAAGUUCCAUACUUUUCAUUUUCAUAAACUAAAAUGAAUGUAAACUAAAAUGUUUGAAAAUCUUAACUAUUUUUAGCUAUGUUAUUUUUGUUUUCCAAAAUUAUUCCAUAUUGAAUUAUAUUUUCCAGAUCAAACAUAAAAUAAAUUUUAAAUUUCAAGGUAAUAUAUAUUGUCUUAGUUUAAUUCCUCAAGUUGUAUAUAGUAUAAACAAUAUGCCACAAUGAUUAGCAUUAAUCAAUUUUCCUAUAAGACACGAGUUUUAAACUGGACUCUAUAAUUCCAGAUUAGAGGUAGUGAAUCAUGUCACAAAGAGAGAUAACAGGGACAGAAGGUUGGGAAUACGCCCUCUUGUUUUAUCCUGCUCAAUGAAAUACUCGAUUUUUUCCAAUUUUACAUACUGAAAUUCCAAGCAAUAUUUCACUUGAAUAAAAAGCUGCAUCUAUUUAGGAAUGGCUUGAAAAUUACUGUUGAAAAUCCUCUAUUUUCCUUUAAUGUUUUGGGCACUGACUCAGUUGUAAAGGGGAACCUUAAUUAUCAUGCUUGAGAAUACUUUGAUUUGUAUGGUUAACUAGAUUUUUAUUGAAAUAAUAUUUAUUCAUUCAUUUGAGAGCAGGUAAUUAGGUGCUUAUUCAGAGUCCAUAAUAUAGUUUAUUAUAUAGUAUAUAAAUAAUAAAUACAAAUGCAUAGGAAUAUAUAAUAACUAUAUAUACAUAUAUAUAUAUAUUUUUUUGCAUUACAAUAUUAAUUGGUGAGGAGUUUUGUUCAUACACUUGAUUAAAUUAUGAGAUUUAGACAAUCCUGAAUGCAGCAUUCAAGUGUAGAAAGCUUUAGGAAAUAGAAAAUCCAUAAAAAUUAUUGCUAUUCAAACUGUAUGGUAAUUUGGAGUCCCUGCUAGCUCGUAUGUAUAGUGUACAAUGUUUACAUAGGUUUGAGAGUGAGAAAACAGGGAGAUGGUUGAAAAAAUGGUGAAAUUUGAAAUAGGAUUGAAAUUUGAAAUUAACAUCUUCUGGAUAUGAUAACAAUGGAACUUAAAACAGAAAUCACACUUUGAAAUAUGGUUAUUAAAUAACUCUUGGGAUGAUCUAUGACUACAUUAAAUGGCUAAUUCCUAACACCAUCUUUAACAUCUCUGGGAAGGAAAGCAGUAACAUCCUCAGAAAAGGGACAGCAUCCUGAUAGAGAUGAAGUGGAGGGGGAGCAUUUCUUAAAAAUAUAUGAAAUUUCUAUCAUAAAAUCAAAAACAUUCUUUCUAUAAAUAUUUAUUUUGACCACUGAAAUGAACCAGAAUUUCACAAACUAUCUAUGUUUCCCACCUGCUACAGAUGGCAAAAAAGUGCUUGGUUGCCAAAGGUGUAAUCUCUUGAGGGCUGAAAAAUAAAUGAUUUAUUCUAAGACAACAAAGACAUGGUUUCUUACCAGCUGUCCAGUUUAGAUGUCGAAUUCUAAGAAGAAUUCCCAUGAGCAAUUUUGUAUCUGUUACAAGUUUAUUAGAGAGGGGCAUGCUACGUCUUAGUGGUCAUUUCCAAAGAGAGUCGUAAUAGUACUUAAUUUUGUAAGAAUCUGAUUAAAAAUUAAGUACAUGGUUCUCUGUCCAAAGAGUUAGCUGACUACAGAUUUGCAGCGCUCUGAAAGAAACACUUUUAGAUGUAAGUGUGUUAUAUGCAUACUGGCAUUAAGAUAGGAGAGAUGAUUUCCAUCAUUCUAGAUGUAUAACAAAUCCAGUUCUAUAAUUAAAUCAUAACUUAUGCCAUCAAACUUGAGAAUCUUAGGGAAUUAAGACCAUAUUACGCAUCUCCAUUAAUUCUGCCUAAAUAUAUUAUUUGGCAGUAUUAAAAGCUAUUUGCUCUCUAUUGGAAAAGUACAGAUUAUAGCAGACCUCAUUUGCUACCAACGAAUGAGAGGAUAGAAAGAAGAUUACCAGUUAGAAAAUACACCAAUGAAAAUUUACUGUUCAGCCAAUUAUUUGAUUAAAUAUGUUUUGAAUAAAGUAUUCCACUUUUAAAAUGCACAUUUUGGAUUAUAUUUGUCAUUGAAUCAGUGAGACUUUCCUUUUAUAUUAGACUUUUUUUCUCUUAAAAAUAAUUUCAUUGCAUAUUUCUAGCUCCUGAUGUAAAGCAAGAACAUCUCUCUCAAUCCUUCUAAAUCAUUAUAGAAAUUAUAUAAAAAUGGUUUACUUAAUAAUUAUAAAAUUAUUUCAGCUUUAACGGUGUUAGAGUAUAUGAAAGAUUGCAUGGGAAAUUUUACAUGAUUCCAGCAAUACUGAUAGCAGGUAAAUAUGACUAGGGGAGACUCAGAACAGAGGAAAUACUGGUCUGAGUCACUGGAGCUAAGUGAGGCUCUUCUCAAGGAAGCCUCAGAGAGCUUUUACAUCAAGAGUGGUGGAGAGGGGAAGCAUCAGAUUAAUUUAUUAAAGAACUGUAUUAAAACAACUUGGCUAUUAGGACAACUUUUGUUUUACACUCUGUAAAUACAGCAGCUUUUGCCCAUAGCACAGAGCUGGAGAGACCUAUUGUUAAAUGACUUGAUAGCUACAUAGAGAGAUGGGAAUUUAGGAAGGUGCUUCGUCCUAAUAAAGUAGUGAACAGAGUAAGGCAUCAACUGAAACUCAUCAACAGAAAAGGAGGAAACAAUAUGUGGGAGAAUAGGGAGACAAUUUGGCAGAGCAAUAAAAUAAACUGAAUUGCUUCAUCUUUCCAGAGUAAAACCCCAUUUAUGUGGCAGUCAGAUUCGAUGUUCACCCUGUCGGCUUUCCUCCCAUAUUCCAGUUUGUGAAUCCUGCCUGUUGAAAUACCAGCUCCAGUUAUAAACAAAUAGUUCACUUUCAAUCAAAAGAGAGGUUAGUUUGGAAAGCAUUCCUGUACCCGGUUUAAUAUUAACCUUUGCCAGCUACCUACUUUAACAUAAUCCUUAGUUAAUAAAUUCAUCUGAAUAACCAAGGACACAGGCUUUGAAGUAAAACCCUCAGCAUAAAAGCAAAGACCCGACAUGAACCAAGAGAUGGACUGUAGGAAAAAAGAUAAUGCAGCUAUAAACAUAAAAACAAAUUCCAAUUAUUGUCCCCAGAAACAUUCAAUAGGUAUUUCCUGAAUAAAACUAAAACUGUUUAAUAUAGAAAGUGGUGUGAGAGACACAUGGAGGAAACUGAACAUAUCUUUUUUGAGAUAGUGAUUCUGUUUCCUUUGGAAAAAUACCCAAAAGUAGAAUUGCUGGGCCUAUAGCAGUUCUAUUUUUUUAAUUUUUGAGGAACUUCUGUACUUUUCUCCAUAGUUGCUGCAUCACUUUAUUCUCACCAAUGUAAUACUCUAAUUUUUGUUUUUGUGUUAUCUUUAUAAUUUAAAAAAAUUAUAGAGUGCAUUGAGACUUUAUAAAGUUGUGAAAGAUUAAAAACACACUAUGUGCUUACUCUUUAUUUCUGCUUCUUCCUCCAAAAUACUGAUAGUUCCUUAUAAGUUUGCAAGCUUUUAAAUAACUAUAGUCAAUUUGUCUAUAUUUUUCUAAAAAUAGUCCCUAAAUAGAUGAUCUAAUAAAUCCAGUGUAUGAAAGCAAUUUGUUAAUACCACUGAACCAAUAAGUAAUACUGUGCCUUAUUUGUGCAUGCUUGAUUGUAUACACAAUAUGAAAGAUGGACACGGAGACCAACUGCUUUUUAAACUACCAAGUGGAAGUUUCACCUGUCUAUUUUCACAUAUCCUUGUCAGUCUAAACUGCAGCUAUAGGAAAAGUUACCCAUAUGUAUAUAAAACACUAAGCAUUUAAAGAGUGCUAAAGAAUUUGAAAUGUACAGUCCCUAUUUCUUUUCUCUGUGUAGCCAAUUAUUGCUGAGAAUAACUACUCAUUGAUGUAGCUCAGUUACUCUUAUUUUUUGGAAAUUUAUGUAAAGGAAACAGUUCUACUUGCAGGAAUAACAAUAUAUAUACAACAUUAGUUUCCUAUGUCUUAAAGCGCCUGAGAACCUUAUGUUUGUAAAAUAUUUCCUUUUGGGUCGUGAUUUAUUUUUAUUCAGUUUUGGUUUAUAUGAAUCUGGUUUAAGUUCUUAUGGCUAUCAGAACAUAACAUAAAGAUUCACAAUUCCCCAGACAGUGUCUCUACAUUCAUUUGUUGUAGACUGGAUAGAAAACGUUUUGCAAGAGACCCAAUCUAUAGCUUUAAAAUUCUUAGACACAAAUGGUAUAUUCUACCUAAAAUUCAAAGUCCAAAAGAAAUUGCAGUACCUAAACUGACACUGAAAAUUGACUGGUCUUGGUGAAAUAGGGAUUGCUAUCAGCUUUGUAACUAGUGAGUAGAUACACAUUUUGGGGGAGUUAAUAAUUUGUCAAAUUGGUCAUGCAGCAAAUUGGUCUUGUGAUGAAUGGUUAUUGGUGAAUGGAUUUUCUGCAAAUUGAUCUACAGGCAUUUACUUCACCACUCCAGAGUGAUGACCCAAAAGGUCAUCCUCACCAUUGUGACAAGCUACUGAAAAGUAUAUGCAAGGAUAUACAGAGAUACUUGCACAGAUGAUCUAGAGAACACCAUGCCAUACCUGUAGGUUUGCACUGCUGCUGUGGAGAGGGUUUCUAUAGUUUUAACAAUGAAUAUAGAUUGCUUUUGAAAUUAUAUCAAAUAAAUGAAUGGACAGCCAUAUAAAUUAUUGGCUUAUUUAUAAUGAAACUGAAAUCAAAUAAUUUCUCCAUAGGUCAUUUUUAGUCCAGUCAUUUUUUAAAUUUGUUUUUAAUAUGUCCCAAUUCAUAGAUCUCAUACAGGUGCACAAAGAUAACCAAUUCUAAGAAAUUUUCACUUUAAUAUUAAUUUAAGGGGAUGAUUGGGAAAACCAAUCUAAUUGGGAAAACUAAUGCUAGUUGUGGGCAUACUCAUUCUAAUAGAUUCAUAUUGUGGGAUAAAUUUAAUUGAAUAGAUAGUUGGAAUUGUCUUUUUUCCUUUGUUGUACUUGUGUGUCCCUUUACUAACCAUUUUUUAAGAAGUCCAACAUUAGUUCCUUCUUCUAUGGUAUUUUCCUUUCAUAUGAAUUUUUCUUGUACGGACAUUUUAUUUUUUUCCUUUCUUUGGAGGAGCAUAAAGUGCAUUUUUGUGCCUCCUUUGUGCUUAUGCUGCUUGGGUUACAUGAUCCUACUUCAGGAACUACUUGACCUAUAAGUGUGUGGCUUUGUGUAGUUUUUUCAGACUCUUCUUUUUAACCUGCAGCUCUCCAAAUGUGGCUAUUUUCUAUUACCUGGUUUCUGAGCUAUGUUUCUUAUCCUGCAUCAGAAACUUGGCUUCGAUCUCUGGUUGACUUCUAUUUCAUUUUCUUUGGCUUAUCCUCCCUUCGUUUGUAUUAAUGUCUUCCUUCUCCAUUCCCGUUUCCCUCAUAUUUAGACUUCACACGAAGCUGACUGCUCAAAAAUAAAUAUGCUUCAUCUCACUUACUCCACAAGAGCUGUCUUCUUCCUGCUGUAGCUCUUGUUUAGGCUCAGCUACUUUUUACAUGGUGCCUCUUAUCUUUUCUCAUCACAACGUGAAAACCAUCUUCUUUAUUUUUCACAUCUAUUUUUAAAACCUCUCUUAUUUCCUUUAUCUUCUAGAGCCCCCAAAGACUCCUCUGGUGAUGAUACGAACUGAGAAAUUUAUUGUGUGUUUUUCUUCCUUGAGUCGGUGAAACCAGGCACACUUUGCCCGCCCAGGUUUCUUAGGAAAUAUUCUGUGGGAAUUUGAGUAACCAUAUCCUUUUAAUCACAAAGUUUGCAGCCAUUUCCAAUUUGAGAGAAGGAACUAAGAGUCAGUUUAAAACAGUAUUAAGAGCACCGGCUUUGGAUUCAAACUUCAUCUGUACUCCCAAUUUUCCCACUUCUAGAGUUGGGGUCUUAGGGAACUUCGUGUAUCCUCUUUCAGCUUGUGUUUUUCCUUUGCAAUAUUAUUAGUACACAUGAUAACUUGUGUAUAUGCAUGUGUGAAUGAAAUGGUAUUUAUGAGAACACUUGGGUAAAUGUAUGGCACAUUAUUAACACUUAGUAAAUAAAUGCUCUAAUUAGUAAUUCUUAUUUUUAAUAUGCAAUUAUUCUUUGUGUCAUAAACAUCACGUCAAAUAAUGUCCUAAGCCUCAUACCGAGCAUUAUUUGUGCACAGUUGUUUAAUUAUUGUUCCUUCCCCUCACUCCAUGCAGAGUUACAUAUAACGUAGAUAAUUUAUUCUUACGUUGCCAUUACUCUAUAACUUACUACCAAGUCCAAGACACAAAACUGUGUACCAAUUUAACCAUAACUGUUGAUUUAUCCCAAUUUGCCUUAAUUAUUUCACAACCUCUCCUGUGUCCAUUGGCUCAUUAUAAAAAAGAAACAAUUUUUUAUUUUGACCUACUAAGUUGAAUCUCAUCCAUAUUGAACUAGUUUUUUUCAAUGAUAAAAAUUUGUAUUUGUUUUUUUGUUUCUCAAUAUGAACCUUUCAGUGGCCUCCUAAGCAAUUGAAUUGUUUUAGUUAUAGCACCUUCAAAUUCAUUAAAAUUGAAUAUUUAUGCCUCAGUACAUUGUUUCUUUCUGGGGAAAUGACUAAUAUUUGUAAAAAUGACACUGGCAAUGUCUUUCUGCUCUUCUCUUCCAUCAGGAUUUUAUAUCACUUACUCAAUUCUGCUCCUCUUUGCAAACCUCAUCCCCAUGGCCUUUUAAGGAAGAAAACUGGCAAAUAAGAACACCUUUUUUUUCUUUCUUUUUCCUUCUUAUUUUGUAAUUUUAACACCCCAAUCCACUUACCAUCCUUUUUUCAUUCUUCAUUAUUUUGAUUUCUUUCAUGUCUUCAAUUGUAGAUGGCUAAUGAUCCUUUCUUUAUCCUUUAUUCAGAUAAUCAGAGAAGUUUGGGACCCCCCUUAUCUUGUCCAUUGCUCUUGUCCUGAUGUUCUUCUGGAAGCUACUUUCUAACAGGUUUUUUAUCAUGGCAUAUGCCUACAUCAUGAUUUAACUUCCAUUGCUUCCUAUACUGCCCCACAUUACCCUCCUCAUCAUGCUGUGUUCUCCUUGGCUUUUCUCAGGAUCUACAACCUAUGGUAGGAGAUGUCACUUCAGAUUCACAGAAUUUCUUAAAAAAUAGUUUGACUGUGUGAAACUUUCUCCUGCUCUGCCAGGUGACACUCAGAGAAGCUGUCUCUUACAGAAAACUCAUAAUAACUUGAUUUAUGCUUUAAUAUAGUUAUAAUUUCCAGCCUUGCACUUUAACUUUCAAAAAUAUAGAGAGAGCACAUUCCACGUGACCUAGACAUUCAUGCACUUCAUGGAAGGGGUUGCAAAGUGACCAAGGUAUGACUUGUUAAAUGAGUUUUCAUCAGUUGAUUAUUCACCACUUCCCUUCAAGUAAAGUAAAAAUAUUGAGAAUAUUGAGAUCUUUUUCUGGUAUGAGUAGGUUUAGUGCUUCUAGACUGCAAUUAUGUCUACAGCAAGGGUAGUUCAAAGAAGUAGUGAAUUAUGUAUUAUUUGUAUAUAUUAUUAAUUAUAUUAUAUUAUAUUAUAUAUUUUAGAUAGUGAUUUUAUAAUAAUUUUUAUAUUAUUUGGUAUUGUAUUUAUAUAAUAUCAAUAUAUAUGACAUCUAUUAAAUAUAUAUAUUCUAUAUUUACUAUUAGACAGGAACAGAUAACAGAAGUAGUUGGCUGGUUUUCUUCACUGAGAUUGUGAGAAUUUAUAAGAGGGGCAAUCUUAGGUUUUCAUUACUUAAAAAGCCUCCACAAGUUUUACAGGGUAAAGUUACUCUAACGAAUCUUUUCAACUCAGUAACCCAGAUUUCAUAAAAUACUUGUGCCUAUUACUUUCACACAGAGCUAGCAUUGUACCAAAGAAAAUCUCCAUAGCCUUUCUUUUCUUUGACUUAACGGCUGAUCAUAUUCCUCCAUAAGGCCUUCUGUAAACACACUGCACAAAGUCCCUAAGGAUGUGACUUGUAACAAGUUUUUGGUAGUGUGUGGCGUGAAAUCACCACACGCACAAGGCUGAUGGUUGAGAACCCAUUCACAGAACAGCAUGGGAAAGCACAAGCCUCUCAAGAAGUCAAAAUGUACUUUUGCAAUGUGGCAAAUUGCAAUCCACAGGAGAUGAUGGCAGCCAAAGGAGAAUGUCUCCUUUGCAAGAUUUAGGAGGGAAAGUCAAGGGCUUUAUGACGCAGAAUCAUUUUUUUUUUCCUUCAAUAAAGAAACCCUGUAAUGAGUGUUUCCACAUUCAUUGCUGAGGCAUGGUUUAAAGAACCGGAUUGGCAGAUUUAACAUCCUGGUCAGAUACUCUUCCCUGAGUUUUUCCUUCUCACUGCUUUUCCUAGGUGCCAGCUGGGGAGGCUGCCUGGUGACAACCAGAUGAUAUGUACCUACGGCCUGUCGGUGUUUAAUCCACAUGCAAGUGAGCAGUAAACACUUUAACAGUAACUCCUAGAAGACAUUAGACAGAGAAGGUGAAGUCCCAACAACCGUUGUGGUGGAACGAGGUUGGUGUUUCCUGAUAAACAAAGGAGGAAACAACUGUAAAGGGAAAGGAAGAUGAGAAAUAUAGGUGAUUGUUGCAAGCAACAUUUACCAUCUAAGAUAUUUUCCCACGAAGAAGGAAGGAAACAAAUAAACUCAUUCCCACAACAGAUGAAGCAGACAACUUGCAGAGGGUGCUUUGUGGAAGGCAUUCCAUUGAAAAGGUCUUCUGAAAAGACACUGACAGGUUUUCUUUCCCUACCUUUGCCAUUUCCCAGGUGUAAGCAAUAUAAAUUAUAAUAGAUGUAGCCAGAAGAAGAGAAAUGAUUGGUGAAAUCUGUGUAAUCA